This 46434-nucleotide long non-coding RNA is filed under the name Zea mays. RNAcentral describes it as "long non-coding RNA (ZMAY_LNC000505)". The record is from RNAcentral. Lineage: Eukaryota; Viridiplantae; Streptophyta; Magnoliopsida; Poales; Poaceae.
GAGGGAGCAACAAGAAAGGUUUCGUGAAGAGCUGCCGCAACAACAAAUGACAUUCCUCCAACAGCAAUCAGAGUACAUGGCUGCUUACAACGCACAGGCGCAACAAACAAUGAACAUAAGUGUCUUAUUUAUUCUCAACACGGUCGAUAUUUGUCCUAUAACUAAUAUAUUGUAUUUGCAACAGUCUUGGUUUCCAGAGCAGGUACAACAACAAUCAUUUGUUUUCCCUCAAUUUCAGUCGUCGAUGCCUCAAUGGGGAUUACAUGCUCCGCCACCUCCACCUCAGGUGCUUCAACUUAGUUAAGACUUGUCGUUUGUAUUAAACUUUUAAAUCUUGACUAAACUUGAUUUUGUAGAGAUCCAGGGUUAUGGGCCACAACACGCCACCACUGGUGAUACCAGCAUCAGGAGGAGCUUAUGCAGGGGAGGGAGCUACUACAGGAGAUGUUAGUUUGACAAACAAUUUAUUUGAAUAUUGGUCAUGUAAACACCAUAGUUAUUAAUGUCUUCUUUUUUAUUUAGAAUCCAAAUCCGUUAUACGACUUCGUCAAUGAGUUUUUCGCUUCUGGAGGUAGUGGUCACAACUCCAACGACCCUGAUAUGUGAUGGUUUGAGUUUUGUGCCGAAUUAUGCGUUGUAAUGGACUAUUUGUGAACUUUAUGUUGUAUGGACUACUUGUGAACUGUGAUGUUGUAAUGGACUCCAACUUUAUGUUGUGGACUAUUUAUGAAUUGUGCAAUUGUGGAUUUAAUGUUUCUGUCAUUUUAUUGUGAUUAUAUUGUUGAUGAAUUUGCUGUUUUUUGCAUUUUUUUCAAAAAACAAUUUCUCUGAAAUUAUUAAUUUUCGACGGCCUCAGUGCCGAAAAUAAGCCUGGGAUAUUUUCGGCAUCCCUUGUUUUCGGCGGCGAUGUCAGGCCGCCGAAAAUUAAUGCUUAUUUUCGGCGGCCAACAGAGCAGCCGCCGAAAAUAAGCGCUAAUUUUUGGUUGAUUUUUUCUGGCGGCCAGAGACCACCGAAAAUAGGCCUAAAGCCGCCGAAAAUGACUGUAUGUGCUGCUGUGAAGGGCCGCUGAAGGUUUUUUGAAACUUAAAGUGGUAUGGUAGUCUCACACGUUCAAAUUUCUUCCCUUCAUCCUUUUUCGUCGGCAUUCCCCACCCACCUAAUGUGGGAAAAGUUUUGUUGGCCAAGUAUUCUCGCACUAAGUCUCGAAUACUGAUGUGCUCGACCACAACUUUGAACUCUACUUUGGCUAGUUGGCAUGGGGAGACGAGUUGCGUGUUGCACAAUGGCCUUGUCAUGCCGAAGCUUAAUUUCAUGGGACUCAUCGCCAUGCUCAUAAGCUUCUCUCUUCUCUUCUCGUCACCUUUCACAUAAAACCACUCGUUUGUCCAGCCAGUAGGCCACUUGGUACGGUACGCAAUCACAGGAGCCUUCGUAUCUUUUCGAUAUGCAAAAUUAUAGCAUCCGAAGUUUUUGUGCAGACCAUCUGCUCUUGUCUUGGUCUGGUAGUGGAGUUCAUGGACUCUGCAGAAUCCUUCUGCAUUGGCACUAUUUCCUUUGUUUCGGAGAGCCCAUAUGUAGACACUGAGCCUAACUAUAGCGUUUGGUGUCAGCUGAUGAAGAUAUAUCUCAAAUCUUUUUAAUACUUCGCCAAUCAUCUCGUACAAUAGGAAUUGAAGCCCAACACAGAAGAAGCUCUUAAAAACCACCACCUCAUCAUCCUUUGGCUCUAGAAUUAUCUCUUCACCCGCGAACCUUAUCAAGUUAUCAUCAUUCUUUCUGAAAUAACCAAGUUUCUUCAUUAAAACUAAGUCCUCAGGUUUCACGGUGGAUCUGCCAAACUCGAUAUGGCUAGGCUUGCUUCGACUCAGUAUGCCAUCAUCUUCUUUGUCAUCACUUCCAGCUUCGGCAAUAACAUUUUCAGUUUCGGCAUUAGGGUUAUCCUUCUCGUAAAAAGCUUCUCCUUCCUCUUGUAUAAUCAACACAGAGCGUCUCAUGACUUCUGAAAUUGGAGUUGUUUCAGCGUCCUCAGUCUCCCCACCCUCACUUGUCAGUCUUGCAGUAGAUCUGAUUCUAGCAAUUUCAGUCCUUAAGAUGAAGCUAACUUUCAAAUGACUUGACGAUUGUUCGAAGACUAGUCAGCAAGUGCAUAGAGCGCAAAAAACUUCAGCUUCAGUAAAAAAAUUCAGCAGCACAAUGAUGCAAUAGCAAUGAAUGAUGUGGUAACUUCUUACCAACUCAUCUAUUUAUAUAUUCCUACAGAUGAAGAAGGCGAGCUGCUACACCGCCCAUACUGACUGAUUAGUGGACUGGCAAAGGUCGUAACUUUUUAUUCGUUUUUAAUAAUAGCUCAGGGAAGGUGUUUUUCGGACCUUCGGCAUUGAGAAGCCUUCGUAUGUUUCCCGGAUCGAGCUCGUUAUGAAAAAACGACCUAGCACCGCGAAUGGACUACUGUUGGGGUCUCCUUCUCUGUCGAAGGUCCUCAGAGCGAAGGAAUUGUUUGCAUCCAAAGGGACUGAGUGCCGAAGCUGCAACAGGAUUGCACAAAAUGUUGAGGGUUUAAAGCUUUAGCUCAAGAUGGUUACGAAGAUCAGACAUGGCGUUGAGUUAGCAAGGAAAAGACUCGUUUAUCCUUGGUAUUUGUAUUAGAGAAGUGUGUAAAUAUCAGGGUCAUAAAUGUACUUUUGCUUGGGCUGCGUCCCUUGCCUAUAAAUAGGUGAACAGUAUCCCCGUACUGUUCACACUGAUUAGAGAAAUUAUAUUCGCCCUUUCACCUUCGAGCAAGCCAAAGAUACAAAUGUAAUAUACAUUUUGUGACAUUCUAUUAAUAUUUAAUAUGAGUUAUAAACUUGUUCUGACAUGUGAAAUAAUAUUAAUAGUUAAUAUAAUAUUACAUGGUAGUGUUGUAUCUAUGAAUUAAGAAGGCUUGUUAUUCUUGACCUUCAUCCAAGAUUCAUUAUCACUAGAAGAGGAUAAUGCUUCGGAGGACGAAGGUCCUUAACGUUUAACGAUUGGGUUUCCUUGUUUUUGGUCACAACUAUCAAAAACAAGUGACCAACACUAUCCACCGUCGAGGCUGAGUACGUUGCCGCAAAUUAGUGUUGCGCGAAAUUACUAUAGAUGAGGCAAACUCUAUAUGACGUUGGCUACAAUCUGAGCAAAGUCCCACUCCUAUGUGAUAAUGAGAGUGCAAUUCGCUUGGUAGAUAAUCCCGUUGAACACGGCCACACUAAGCACAUAGACAUUCAGUAUCACUUUCUAGGAGAUCACCAGCAAAAGGGAUAUAUCGAUGUUUGCCAUGUUAGCAUCGAUUACCAGCUAGCCGAUAUCUUUAGCAAGCCUUUAGAUGAGAAAAGGUUUUGUAAGCUACGUAGUGAGCUAGAUUUCUUAGAUUCGUGGAAUUUGGAUUGAUCUAUAUCAUAUACGUCUUUUAUGUUUUGGGCAUAUCAUUUUAAGUUUAAUUAUGCAUUUUGGUGUUCAAGUUGUAAAAUAUCAUCCAUGGACCUCACAAGUCCUUGUGCAAAUGAUGCAUAUGUUUAGGGGGAGGAUAUGCUACAACUUGAUCCUUUGAGACUAAUAUGUUUGCUUAAGUGAUUUUGGUGUAGUCUGGAAGGUGAAUGGAAAGGAAAAUGGUGAACUUGAACAACAAACAAGGCUUCCACUGCAUAACAGUAUCAUGUUCAAGUUGCCCUUGGUGUUCUAUGUCUUCUUGCUCUUAAUUGGCAAAUUUCGGUGAGGCAAUGAGGUUUAAAGGACACUAGUUUCUCCGUUUUGGAGCUUAAUGCCACAUGGGGAGAAAUUAAGGCCAAAGCAACUAGAUCAACCACCACUUGUGAAUUUCAAAAAAAUAUUAUUGUAUUAAUAACUGUCUUUUGAUCAAAACUCUCUUAUUGCAAAUCUACUCUCUUGAGGGGAAGAAAUCUUUUUUCUAGAAAAGGGGAGUUUCUGUUUUUGAUCAAAACUAGUCUUGAGAAAUGGUUUGAUUUGCUAAAACAAAGUGUUUUUGUCAUAGAAGUAAGAAAAUGAAUUUUCUUUGUGAAAAUAAACCAAGUGGUGGCAAAAUGAUCCAAAUAUGACAAAUCCUAUAAUUAUCCUAUUAGUGUUUGAUUUGACUUCAAUUUGCAAAAGUUGGCUCAUAUUGGAUUGUGUUAGUGCCUCUUUAAGUUGUUUUUGGUGUGUUGGCAUAAAUCGCCAAAAAGGGGGAGAUUGAAAGGGAAAUGUGACCUUGGGCCAUUUCCAGUUGUUUUGGUGAUUAGAUGCUCAACACACUGCUACUGACUAACAACUCCACAUAUGAGCAUGAGCAUAGGUACUCGAAAGGCAAAUUGAGAAAUAUAGAAGUAUAUUGCAAAUCCUAUUACAUUAAAGGAACAAAGGUAUGAUUCUAACACUUAGUAAAUUGUUUUAGUUGCUAACAAUGUUCAUCUAAGUGCUAGGAAACCUCUCAAUUUGAACCAUUUUGGAGAGAUGGUGUUUGGCUAAGUUUGGCCAAACUUGUGCCAGUCUGGGGAGCAUCGGACUCUCCGGUGUGCACCGAACAGUGUCGAUUGCCCAGCCUGUCAGCCGGUGAACAAGUUGAAAGUCGCCUAAAGGGGGGUGAAUAGGCAAAUCUGAAAUUUAUAAACUUUAAGCACAACUACAAGCCGGGUUAGCGAUAGAAAUAUAACCGAGUCCGAAAGAGAGGGCGAAAACAAAUCACAAGCAAAUGAAGCGGAUGACACGGUGAUUUGUUUUACCGAGGUUCGGUUCUCGUAAACCUACUCCCCGUUGAGGUGGUCACAAAGACCGGGUCUCUUUCAACCCUUUCUGUAACACCCCACUGAUAACCACACAAUGGAUGUUACCAAAAACCCUUCCUACAAAACUUAUGCAACACAUAGAGAAAGAAAGUAUUGCAAAAUUCGGCAACACCUCCCUUGAAAGUAGCAUAACAAGGAAAACAUUGAGUUUAUACAGGAUAUAAAAGAAAGAUAUUUGACAUAGUAUAAUCGAAAUGCAACGGUAGAAAUGAACAUUCAUGACCACACAAAAGAUAGACAACUCAGCCCACCAAACUAAACAGUUCAACUACCAUGAAAGAUUAGAAUGUAAUAAUCCCCUAGACUUGACCCUCCCUGUUUAACAUCAUUAUUAAGCAGUGGUUCCUUUAUUCAAAAGUGUGGUGGUCAUGCUGCUACAUCCCUUCUUUCCCAAAGCAAAGAUCAGGUGCCUGCAUCAGAUAAUACAAGAGUGAGAUGACACAUCUCAGCAAGUAAAAAACAACAGUUGGACAAUGUAAGCCAACCGUGCAUAAGCAACCACGUGGUUCCCAACUUCUUUCUUAAAUAUUAAUUUGCAGCAAGUAAGAAAGUAAUCAAUUACUCAAUGCCAAGAUGAAUCACAAAGUAAAGAUCCACAUUAUCCACAUCACCAUAAUAGGUUCCACACUUCCCCCAUGAAUGCACAUGGCUACAGAUGCAGUAUGACUUCUGCCUUCAUACCUCUAAGGAUAUGAAGCUGCAUCAUACCCCUUCUCGGGCAACAUAUGAUGCUCAUUGUACCGGUAUGGUCGACCAUAAUAUCGUGACGAAACUUCAAUGCAAUGGAUUAUGAAUGCAUUAUGCAUGUCAACAACAUGAGUUCUUCCCAAACAAAAUGUGCUAGACAUAUACUUCCACCCAUUUCACAUAAUAAACCACAUGGGUAACAUGAUCAAACCACACCCUCCACAUGUAUAAUCAAUAAAAGAUGAAUAAUUUCAAACGACGGUACCCAAUUAGGAAUAUGAAUACGAACACAAAUAGCACAAACAUAAUCAAGUAUAAGACUCUUCAAUCAACAGACGGAAUAACCAUCACUGUUUUACUUGCCUUCACCGGAAGUUUGGGCAAAUCCCUAAGUACGAUCCGGAAGUCCACCACAUGUUUUUGACACACAACUUAGUGCACCAAUUACACACAAUCAGGCUCAUAAACGACGUCGCACCUACGCACAAUCUCAAACCCCGCCGCGGGUAACAUCUCUCCCCACACCCACCAAACUGCAGCGACGCUACUUAAUAAUUUCAUAACUUUAAAAUUAUGAUAGCAGUGGUAACAAACAAAAACUCCAGAGGCAUCUACAUAAAAUUCCGCACAAGUUUUGUAUACAAUUUAUACUUAAAUUCCAAUAUCUAAUUAGCCCAAAACAGUUUACAAGAUAAACCAUGUAAUCUGUUUUUUUCUCUUUUGGACAGCGACAUACCCGGAUUCAAACAGCAAUAUCUUUUAAAAUAUAAUUCCAAACCAAGCACAUAAGUACUCAUUGGAAAGAUAAGACAAAGCCAUACAUGAUUAUCAUACUGGGUAUCACUAAUUACCCACGAAAAAUUCCUAGAAACUGCUAAUAUUACUGUUGUUCACCCACCUGAAAAAUCUGUUUUUUGGACAGCAACAUACCCGGAUUCAAACAACGAUAUCUCCUAAAUUAUAACUCCGAAUCGAGCGCAUAAGUACUCGUUGGAAAGGUAUGACAAAGCUCUACAUUAUUAUCCCACUUAUUCCCACUAAUUAACCCACGAAAAUGCCCGGAAAUCCCUAGAACUACUGAUGUCCACCCACUCACAAAAUUCCUGGACAGCACCUCUACCGAUUCGCAAAGAUAAACGCAUAAUCCAAUUGAUUGCAGCACAAAAACAACAAAAGUUAAACACAAAUUCACCUUGGGUUCUUCCCUUCCUCCUUCCUUCUUCCUCCCUCCAAACUCCAAUUGAGAUCGCAGCCACACGACGGAGAACCACGCGGGAGGGCUGCACCUUGGAGGGGGAAGAGAAAUGGGGGGCGGCUAGGGUUUUGGGUGGUGAGGGCUGCAAAGGUUUGAGGAGGAAGAAGAUGGAAGAGGGGGGUGGCGUCCAAGAGAAAGGGGAGGGGAAGGGGGUGGCUGCAAAAUCCCAAGGGGAAAAGGGGGGCGGCUAGGGUUAGGGGAGACUAAUGGGCCGGAUCAAGGUUCAAGGACCAACUCGCCCACGUGACAGCUCCCGACCCCGUCGCAAUCAACUAACCAAAGAAAUUCUACUGUCUUAAAGGUGAAUGUUUUCCACAAAUUCCAAAUUCCCAAAGCGCAUCACCCGAAUGGAAAAAGAACAAAAAGAAUAACCUCCACUUCUCUUUGCAAACCGGGUAUCACACUCUACCCCCCUUAAAAAGAAUUCGACCUCGAAUUCUGACGCUUCUAUCGGAACGACAAAAGGGAAAAAUUAAUGAAUCAACAACACUUAACCACAACAAAAAGUUCUGGAUAUUUCUGCCGCAUCAGCUCCUCAAGUUCUCAUGUAGCCUCGCACUCAAACUGAUUAGUCCAUAAGACCUUGACAUACUUAAUUGAUCUCUUCCUCAAAAUGCGCUCCGAGGAUUCCAAGAUACACACCGGACGACACUCCAAGGUCAGAUCCUGCCGCACCGCAAUUGGUUCCAUCUCAAUCUGAUGGUCCGGAUCCCGCAAGAACUUCCUCAGCAUAGAGACAUGAAAAACUGGGUGUACCCCUGCCAUGGAAUCCGGCAAUUGCAAGCGAUAAGCCAAGCUGCCCACCCGGGCCAAGAUAGUAAACGAUCCAAUAUAUCACGGGCUAAGCUUUCCGGAGACACCGAACCAAACAACUCCUUUAGUGGGUGAUACCCUGAGAAGGACUUGGCCACCCACUGCAAACUCCAAAUCCUGCCUCCUCACAUCAGCAUAACUCUUCUGACGGCUCUGAGCGGCCAAAAUAUUCUGACGAAUUUCCCGAACCUUUUUAGAAGUCUGCUGAACCCAAUCAGGACCAACCAGGGAUCUCUCUCCCAAGGUCUCCCAGCAUAGAGGGGAGAUACACCACCUGCCAUACAAAGCCUCAAAUGGUGCCAUCUUGAUGCUAGCCUGGUAGCUGUUGUUAUAAGCAAACUCUGCCAAUGCAAGAUGAUCUUCCGAGCUACCCUUCCAAGACAGAACACAAGCACGCAACAUAUCUUCCAAGGUUUGGAUCGUUCGCUCCGACUGACCAUCAGUCUGAGGAUGUAAAGCGACACUAACAGAAAGCUUGGUGUCCAAUGCACUGUGAAGACUCUCCCAGAAUUUGGAUACAAAUUUGGAGUCUCGAUCAGAAACAAUGGACUUAGGUACCCCGUGAAGCCUGAUUACUUCCUUCAUAUACAAGGGGACCAAUUCUGAAGCUGAAUUGGUGGUCUUCAUGGGAAUAAAGUGCGCUGACUUAGUCAAGCGAUCCACUACCACCCAAAUAGCAUCUCUGCUCCGAGGAGAACGAGGUAAGCCCACCACAAAAUCCAUGGUGAUAUGCUCCCACUUCCACUCCGGAAUCUCCAAUGGCUUCAGCAAACCUGCAGACCUCUUAUGCUCGGCCUUCACGCGCUUACAUACUUCACAGGAGGCCACGUACUUAGAAACGUCAACCUUCAUCCGCUUCACCAGAAGUUUUGCUUCAGAUCUCGGUACAUUUUGGUUUCACCAGGGUGAACGGUGUAAGGCGUUUUAUGAGCUUCUCUCAAUAUAUCCAUCUUCACCUCUGAUUUCUGAGGCACACAAAGGUGACCCCUGAAACGAACCAAAUCAUUUUCAUCAAUGGAGAACUCCCGAGGUUUACCAUCGCCAACCCUCUUUUGAGCUUCCUGCAAUAAACGAUCCUGCUGCUGAGCCGCACGCACUCUCUCCAUGAGAGAAGAUUGAAUAAGCAUACGAGUCUCCUCACUAGCGGUGCCGACAUAGCACAAAGCGAUCCCCAAACGGUCCAGAUCAGCAAUCAACUGCAAGGCCACUUUUGGAACCCCGGACCUGCUAAGGGCAUCAGCCACCACAUUUGCCUUCCCCGGGUGAUAAUGAAUAGACAAAUCAUAAUCUUUAAUCAAUUUGAGCCACCGACGCUACCUCAAAUUCAGAUCCUUCUGAGUGAAAAUAUACUUGAGACUUUUAUGAUCGGUGUAAAUGUCACAAGCCUUGCCAUAAAGAUAAUGCCUCCACGACUUUAGAGCAAAAACCAUCAUGGCCAAUUCGAGAUCAUGAGUUGGAUAAUUCCCCUCAUGCUUCCUCAACUGCCUUGAGCCAUAAGCAAUCACUCUGCCUUCCUGCAUCAACACACAGCCAAGUCCAAUUCGCUUAGCAUCCGUAUAAACUGUGAAAUGCUUACCGCUCUCAGGCAAAGCUAGGAUAGGGGCGUCCACCAACUUGCUCUUCAAUGUCUGAUAACUGACCUCGCAAUCGCUGGACCAGACGAAGAGAACACCCUUCUCCAAAAGUCUAGUCAAAGGCUUAGCAAUGCUGGAAAAAUUAGGUACGAAGCGCCGAUAAUAUCCAGCGAGCCCCAAGAAACUUCGAAUUUUAGAGACACUAGAGGGUCUCUUCCACUCCACCACAGCCGCAACAUUCUUGGGAUCAACCGCAAUGCCCUGCUGAUUAAUCACAUGCCCCAGGAAAGCCACUUCGGACAGCCAAAAUGCACACUUCUUCAACUUGCCAUAGAACUGAUUCUCCCUUAAGGCACCCAGAACGAGACGGAGAUGCUGCUCAUGCUCAGCCUCGGUCUUAGAAUAAAUCAAAAUGUCAUCCAGGAACACGACCACAAAGUCAUCCAAGAACUCAUGCAACAUCCUAUUCAUUGCUUCCAUAAAAGCAGCAGGAGCAUUAGUUAAGCCAAAAGACAUGACUAUGAACUCAUAAUGCCCAUACCUAGUGCAAAAAGCGGUCUUCUCAAUAUCCUCCUCACGAAUCCUCAAUUGAUGAUAACCAGAGUUCAAAUCAAUUUUGGAGAACACCUGGGCACCCCUCAACUGUUCAAAGAGAACCUCAAUACGGGGAAGCGAAUAUUUAUUCUUGAUUGUCACUUGAUUCAAAGCGCGAUAAUCCACACAUAGCCGCUUGCUUUUAUCCUUCUUCUCAACAAACAAUACUAGGGAAGCCCAUGGAGACCUACUAGGCCUAAUGAAACCCUUAGCCAGCAGAUCAUCCAAUUGCCGCUUCAAUUCAACCUGCUCCUUUGGGGUCAUUCGAUACGGGGCCUUAUGAAUGGGCUGCGUACCCGGAAUCAGCUUAAUCUCAAAAGCUGCAUCACGCUCUGGAGGAAUGCCUGGAAGCUUUGCCGGAAACACGUCAGCAAAGUCACACACCACCCGGAUGUCUUGCAUCCGCAAGGUAGCCUCACCCUCCACCACCAUGGAGAAAAAGAUUCCCGACUUCCUUAACCGGCGAUCCGGAAGCAAUUGCGCCAACAAGGAUAAUGUGAACUUAGGGGAACUUCCCAAGAAUACCACCUCCCUACCCGACGGUGCCUGCAAUAACACUGUCUUCCAAAAACAGGAUAUAACUGCGCGAUACUGGGAUAACCAAUCCAUAUCCAAGAUAACAUUGAAUGCCCCUAAGGAAAUCACAACCAGAUUGGCCGAAAAGACCUCAUCAGCAAGAAUGAUGGAACACCCCUGACAAACUGAACAACUACUAAUGGAGCCAUUAGCAGAACUAACCAAACUCCGUGACCCAACCUCUGCACCGAAAGACUAGCCCGCGACACAAAGUCCUCCGAAACAAACGAAUAGCUAGCGCUAGAGUCAAAAAGAGCAUGGGCCACAAACGAAUCAACUGAAAUCGUACCUGCCACCAUGUCUCCUUGCUCUCUGCCAUCCGCAGCGGGUAGCACAUAAGCUCCGGAAAUACCCGCAGAAGAGGAAGCUCCAGAGUGAAAUUAACAGAAGAACCCCACUGAGCCGCCGGGUGAGGCAGACGCGGAGCUCCAAACUGAGAUGGCAUAGGGGUAGUCGGUGCAGGAGUAGGAGCAACCAGAUACUAAGGAAAACCCUGCACCGGCACGAACUGAGAAGUCCCAGGCACAUAAAACUGUUGUGGAGGAAGUGGAACUGAAAAUUGCUGCUCAGCGCUUGACAUCAUGUUGACAGUGCCCUUAGAAGAGGAGGAAGUCACUGGCUCCCAUCUGAGCUUCCCAUUGGGAUUCCUCCUACACACCACAUCCUUGUGGUCUUGACUGCAGAUUGAACAUCUGUCGUUCCACUGGCACUCUGCACGGUGAUGCACAUCACUACAACGGAAACACACCAGCCCCAACCCGGGCUUAGGAAUAGCCCAAAACCUCUGAGUACUUCCUCCUGAAGUACCCGAGUCAGAGGAUUUGCCACGAUAGGGAUGGCGGCGCUGAUGCUGAGACUUGCCCCUCUUGUGGGCUGGACCUCUAGUGUUGCCCCUCCUCGCGUCCUGGCCACGAGGCUGAUCAACCCCCGAAGACUUCUGUGACUCCAUGGUAUACUGGUGUUGCAUCACCACACCCAGUGCCUGCUCCACUGUAGUACGGAAGUCCACCAACGGAAAGGCUCCCAGGGCAUGCCUGAUGGAAGGUUUCAGGCCCUGACGGAACUGGCUCGCCUUCUCCAUCUCAUUAUAAGCCACAUGAGGGACAAAGCAGACCAUCUUCUCCUGCUUGUAGGACUGCAAAUCAAUCUUCAUUUUCUCCAGGAAGGUGACCGGGUAGAAUCUCCUUUCAAACUGCCUGAUGAAGACAUCCCAAGACAGGACUCCUGGUGAGGAGGAGUGCGCUGCCUGCACGCCUCUCCACCAAAUUUGAGCCUCUCCCUUCAGCAGCUGUGUGCCAAAGCGAACUUGAUCUCCAUACAUAAUCUCAAAGACAUUCAUCUUAUCCUCCAUGUAAGUUAGCCAAUCUGUCGCCUCGACCGGAGUACCACUGCCAUCAAAAGAAUCCAACUUCAUGCCCAUCCACUGCAUCAGAGAAAGACCACUGACUGGAAGAGGCACCUCGACCCCGCCACCUGGAGCAGCACCCGUGGGAACAGCGCCCCCGGGCACUCCUCCACCACCAGCACCCUGAGAAGCACCCACAGGGGCAACAGGAAUAGCUUGCCUCAGAAUGGCCAACUCCUACUGCAUGGCCUGCAUCGCGGCUAACAUUGCUGUCGGACUCAUCGAGUCCCCACUAGGAACUUGUGGACUACCCCGAGCCCUACGAGGCGGUAUAGCUGCAGCCACAGGGAUGAGAAUAAUAAGUAAAUAAGAUGGGCAAAACAUCUCUUCAGAUAAUGUCAAACUAGCUCAGACAAUAACAAAACAUAUCAAUAGUAAAGCGGAAAACCCAUCCUACAUGUGCAGUGUCAAUUUAUUAUUACUCCACUUGCUAGGACCUACAGCCUAUUCCUCUGAUACCAACUGUAACACCCCACUGAUCCCACACAAUGGAUGUUACCAAAAAACCCUUCCUAUAAAACUUAUGCAACACAUAGAGAAAGAAAGUAUUGCAAAAUCCGGCAACACCUCCCUUGAAAGUAGCAUAACAAGGAAAACAUUGAGUUUAUACAGGACAUAAAAGAAAGAUAAUUGACAUAGUAUAAUCGAAUUGCAACGGUAGAAAUAAACAUUCAUGACCAGACAAAAGAUAUACAACUCAGCCCACCAAACUAAACAGUUCAACUACCAUGAAAGAUUAGAAUGUAAUAAUCCCCUAGACUUGACCCUCCCUGUAUAACAUCAUUAUUCAGCAGUGGUUCCUUUAUUUAAAAGUGUGGUGGCCAUGCUGCUACAUCCCUUCUUUCCCAAAGCAAAGAUCAAGUGCCUGCAUCAGAUAAUACAAGAGUGAGAUGACACAUCUCAGCAAGUAAAAAAACAACAGUUGGACAAUGUAAGCCAACCGUGCAUAAGCAACCACGUGGUUCUCAACUUCUUUCUUAAAUAUUAAUUUGCAGCAAGUAAGCAAGUAAUCAAUUACUCAAUGCCAAGAUGAAUCACAAAGUAAAGAUCCACAUUAUCCACAUCACCAUAAUAGAUUCCACACUUCCCCCAUGAAUGCACAUGGCUAUAGAUGCAGUAUGACUUCUGCCUUCAUACCUCUAAGGAUAUGAAGCUGCAUCAUACCCCUUCUCGGGCAACAUACGAUGCUCAUUGUACCGAUACGGUCAGACCAUAAGAUCGCGACGAAACUUCAAUGCAAUGGAUGAUGAAUGCAUUAUGCAUGUCAACAACAUGAGUUCUUUCCAAACAAAAUGUGCUAGACAUAUACUUCCACCCAUUUCACAUAAUAAACCACAUGGGUAACAUGAUCAAACCACACCCUCCACAUGUAUAAUCAAUAAAAGAUGAAUAAUUUCAAACGACGGUACCCAAUUAGGAAUAUGAAUACGAACACAAAUAGCACAAACAUAAUCAAGUAUAAGACUCUUCAAUCAACAGACGGAAUAACCAUCACUGUUUUACUUGCCUUCACCGGAAGUUUGGGCAAAUCCGUAAGUACGAUCCGGAAGUCCACCACCUGUUUUUGACACACAACUUAGUGCACCAAUUACACACAAUCAGGCUCAUAAACGACGUCGCACCUACGCACAAUCUCAAACCCCGCCGCGGGUAACAUCUCUCCCCACACCCACCAAACUGCAGCGACGCUACUUAAUAAUUUCAUAACUUUAAAAUUAUGACAGCAGUGGUAACAAACAAAAACUCCAGAGGCAUCUACAUAAAAUUCCCCACAAGUUUGGUAUACAAUUUAUAAUUAAAUUCUAACAUCUAAUUAUCCCAAAACAGUCCACAAGAUAAACCCUGUAAUCUGUUUUUUUUUCUCUUUUGGACAGCGACAUACCUGGAUUCAAACAGCGAUAUCUUUUAAAAUAUAAUUCCAAAUCAAACGCAUAAGUACUCAUUGGAAAGAUAAGGCAAAGCCCUACAUGAUUAUCAUACUGGUUAUCACUAAUUACCCACGAAAAAUUCUCAGAAACUGCUAAUACUACUGCUAUUCACCCACCUGAAAAAUCUAUUUUUUGGACAACAACUUACCCGGAUUCAAACAACGAUAUCUCCUAAAUUAUAACUCUGAAUCGAGCGCAUAAGUACUCGUUGGAAAGGUAUGACAAAGCUCUACAUGAUUAUUCCACUGAUUCCCACUAAUUAACCCACGAAAAUUCCCAGAAAUCCCUAGAACUACUGCUGUCCACCCACUCACAAAAUUCCUGGACAGCACCUCUACCGAUUCGCAAAGAUAAAUGCAUAAUCCAAUUGAUUGCAGCACAAAAACAACAAAAGCUAAACACAAAUUCGCCUUGGGUUCUUCCCUUCCUCCUUCCUUCUUCCUCCCUCCAAACUCCAAUUGAGAUCAUAGCCACACGACGGAGAACCACGCGGGAGGGCUGCACCUUGGAGGGGGGAAGAGAAAUGGGGGGGGGGGGCUAGGGUUUUGGGUGGUGAGGGCUGCAAAGGUUUAAGGAGGAAGACAUGGGAGAGGGGGUGGUGUCCAAGAGAAAGGUCAGGGGAAGGGGGCGGCUGCAAAAUCCCAAGGGGAAAAGGAGGGGGCUAGGGUUAGGGGAGACUAAUGGGCCGGAUCAAGGUUCAAGGCCCAUCUCGCCCACGUGACAGCUCCCGACCCCGUCGCAAUCAACUAACCUAAGAAAUUCUACUGUCUUACAGGUGAAUGUUUUCCACAAAUUCCAAAUUCCCAAAGCGCAUCACCCGAACGGAAAAAGAACAAAAAGAACAACCUCCACUUCUCCUCUUUGCAAACCGGGUAUCACACUUUCCCUCUCUCAAACGGUCACCUAGACCGAGUGAGCUUUUCUCCUCAAUCAAAUGGGUCACUUAGACCCCGCAAGGACCACCACACAAUUGGUGUCUCUUGCUUUGAUUACAAGUUGCUUGAGAACAAGAAUGGUAAAGAAGAAAAGCGAUCCAAGCGACAAGAACUCAAAUGAACAUGAAAAUCUCUCUCUCACUAGUCACUAAGUGUUUGGAGUGAUUUUGGACUUUGGAGAGGGUUUGAUCUCUUGUUUGUGUCUUGGAGUGAAGUCUAGAGCUCUUGUAUUGAAUGCAAAUAUCUGAAAACUUGGAUGUCUUGAAUGGUGGUGGUCGGGGGUAUUUAUAGCCCCAACCACCAAACCAACCGUUGGGGUUGGGCUGCUGUCGAUGGGUGCGCCGGACACUGUCCGGUGCGCUAGCCAUGUCACCCAACCGUUAGGGUUCUGACGGUUUCGACUGUUGGAGCUCUGACAUUUUGGUGCACCGGACAGUCUGGUGCCGCACCGGACAGGUACUGUUCACUGUCCGGUGCGCCUCUGGCGCCUGUUCUGACUUCUGCCGUGAACUGUAGCUCUGUCAGGGCACUAUGCAGUCGACCGUUGCGCUGAUAGCCGUUGCUCCGCUUGGUGCACCAGACAGUCCAGUGGCACACCAGACAGUUCGGUAAAUUAUAGCGGAGUGUGCCUGGUGAAACCCGAAGGUGAAGAGUUUGAGGUCGAUUCUCCCUGGUGCACUGGACACAGUCCGGUGCGCCAGACCUGGGUUCUCUUUGGUUUCUUUUGUUGCUUUCUUUUGAAUCCUAACUCGGAUCUUUCUAUUGGUUUGUGUUGAACCUUUGGCACCUAUAGAACUUAAAUUCUAGAGCAAACUAGUUAGUCCAAUUAUUUGUGUUGGGCAAUUCAACCACCAAAAUCAUUUAGGAAAAGGUUUGACCCUAUUUCCCUUUCAAUCUCCCCCUUUUUGGUGAUUGAUGCCAACACAAACCAAAGAAAGUAUAUAAGUACAUAAUUGAACUAGUUUGCAUAAGAUAAGUGCAAAGGUUGCUUAGAAUUAAACCAAAUUAUACUUUCAUAAGAUAUGCAUGGAUUGCUUUCUUUCUUUUAAUAUUUUGGACCACGUUUGCACCACUUGUUUUGUUUUUGCAAAUCUUUCUGGAAAUUCUUUUUCAAAGUCUUUUUGCAAAUAGUCAAAGGUAUAUGAAUAAGAUUUCGAGAAGCAUUUUCAAGAUUUGAAAUUUCUCCCCCUGUUUCAAAUGCUUUUCCUUUGACUAAACAAAACUCCCCCUUAAUGAAAUUCUCCUCUUAGUGUUCAAGAGGGNNNNNNNNNNNNNNNNNNNNNNNNNNNNNNNNNNNNNNNNNNNNNNNNNNNNNNNNNNNNNNNNNNNNNNNNNNNNNNNNNNNNNNNNNNNNNNNNNNNNACGACAACGACUACAGGAAGACGGUCAAUUCAAACUUUUCAUUUGAUUAUUCUCGUAUUCCACAUAGUUCGAAUUCGCAAUUGCUUUCCAUUCCUCUUGGCAAACCUCCACACUUUGAUGGGGAGGACUACGGAUUUUGGAGUCACAAAAUGCGUAGUCAUUUAUUCUCUCUCCAUCCAAGCAUAUGGGAGAUCGUAGAGAAUGGAAUGAAAUUUGAUAGCUCGGAUAGCCCUAUGUUUAUUAAUGAACAAAUUCACAAAAAUGCACAAGCUACUACUGUGUUGCUAGCCUCUUUGUGCAGGGACGAGUACAAUAAGGUGAGCGGCUUGGACAAUGCCAAGCAAAUAUGGGACACCCUCAAGAUUUCUCACGAGGGGAACGACAUCACCAUGCUCACUAAAAUGGAAUUGGUAGAGGGCGAGCUUGGAAGGUUUGCAAUGAUAAGGGGCGAGGAGCCAACCCAAACAUACAACCGGCUCAAGACCCUUAUCAACAAAAUAAGGAGUUAUGGAAGCACGCGAUGGACGGACCAUGACGUCGUCCGACUAUUACUAAGGUCCUUUACCAUUCUUGAUCCUCAUUUGGUGAAUAAUAUUCGUGAGAAUCCCAGGUACACCAAAAUGUCGCCCGAAGAAGUCCUAGGAAAAUUCGUCAGCGGGCGAAUGAUGAUUAAGGAAGCAAGGUACGUGGACGACGCCUUGAAUGGACCAAUCAACGAGCCGCAACCUCUUGCUCUCAAAGCAACAAGAAGCAAGGAGGCGCUACCUAGCAAGGUGGCACAAAUUGAGGCGGCCGGACUUAAUGAUGAAGAGAUGGCUCUCAUCAUCAAACGCUUCAAGACGGUGCUAAGAGGUCACAAGGGGCAGCCAAGCAAGACCAAGACAAAGGGGAAGCGCUCAUGCUUCAAGUGCGGUAAGAUUGGUCAUUUUAUCGCUAACUGCCCCGAUAACGAUAGUGACCAGGAACAGGGGAACAAGAGGGAAAAGAAGAAGCAUUACAAGAAGGCAAAGGGCGAGGCGCAUCUAGGCAAGGAGUGGGACUCGGAUUGCUCCUCUUCCGACUCCGACAAUGAAGGACUCGCCGCCACCGCCUUCAACAAAUCAACCCUCUUCCCCAACGAGCGUCACACAUGCCUUAUGGCAAGGGAGAAGAAGGUAUGUACUCGCGACUCUACCUAUGCUUCUUCAAGUGAGGACGAAUCUAGUGAUGAGGAUGAAGUAGAUUAUUCAUGUUUGUUCAAGGGCUUAGAUAGAUCUAAGAUAGACAAAAUUAAUGAAUUAAUUGAUGCCUUGAAUGAAAAGAAUAUACUUUUAGAAAAGCAAGAGGAUUUGUUGUAUGAAGAACAUGAUAAGUUUGUAGAGGCUCAAAAAUCCCUUGCAUUAGAAAUUAAGAGGAAUGAAAUGCUUGCUUGUGAAGUGUCAACAUGCCAUGACUCUAUUUCUAACUUAAAGAGCAUAAACGAUGAUUUAAAUGCUAAACUAGUAGAAGCAAAUAAAUCCAACUCUUGUGUUGAAUAUGUUGAAAUUUGCACUAGGUGUAAGGAUAUUGAUAUUAAUGCUUGUAGCGAACACUUAGUUUCUAUUUCAAAAUUGAAUGAUGAAUUAGCUAGUCUUAAUGCUCAACUUAAGACUAGCAAGAGUAAUUUUGAUAAACUAAAAUUUGCUAGGGAUGCCUACACGGUUGGUAGACACCCCUCAAUUAAGGAUGGGCUUGGCUUCAAGAGAGAAGUCAAGAACUUGACAAGCCAUAAGGCUCCUAUCUCCGCCAAGGAGAAAGGGAAGGCUCCUAUGGCUAAUAGCACUAAAAAGAACCAUGCUUUUUGUAUCAUGAUAGAAGACAAACUAGAAGUGCUUAUAGGGGUCAUAAUGCUUAUGAUGAUUUUGAUGCUCAUGUCAUGGUUGCUUCUAGUUCUUCUUAUGUGCAUAAUAGUGUCGGCGUUUCGAGACAGGGGGGUCCCUAAGCCGACGAGUGAGUGUGCUGCGUGCCCCAGCCUAGAUGGGUCGAGCGCGUGGGCGAGCGCGGAGGGGGGAGAGGCGAGGCGGCCGGAGCCGAGCGUGAGAGAGGUGGAAGUCCCGCGGCCUUCGUGUUCGUCCCGCGCCCAGGUCAGGUGCGCUUGCAGUAGGGGGGUUACAAGCGUCCACGCGGGUGAGGGAAGCGAGCGGCCCCAAGAGAGCGCCUGUCCCGUCCUCGGUCCCGCGCGGCCAACCUUCUCUGAGAAGGCCCUGGUCCUUCCUUUUAUAGUUGUAAGGAGAGGAUCCAGGUGUACAAUGGGGAUGUAGCAGAGUGCUACGUGUCUAGCGGAGGGAGAGCUAGUGCCCUAGGUACAUGCCGAUGUGGCAGCCGGAGAGAUCUGGGCAUCCUGCUGGCGUGAUGUCGUGGCUAUCGGAGGUGCGACGGAGCCUGAUGGAGGGACAGCUGUUGGAGCGGUCGAGUCCCUGCUGACGUUGUCCUGCUGCCGUAAGAGAGCUGGGGGCCGCCGUCGUCAUAGAGCUCGUGGAGCGCCAUCAUUGCCCCUCUGGCGGAGCUGGCCGGACAAGACGCCGGUCUUGUUCUCCGUGACCCGAGUCGAUUCGGGGUAGGAUGAUGAUGACGUUUCCUGUUGACGUGGCGGUCUGUGCUCUAGGCAGGGCGACGUGGGGUUUCCUCCGAAGCCGAGGUUGAGUCUUGCCUUCAGUUGCCGUGGCCGAGCCCGAGCCAGGGGGUCGGGCGAGGCGGAAGUCGUCCGGCCGAGGCCAGGGCGGAGUCCGAGCCCUGGGGUCGGGCGAGGCGGAGUUUCGUCGUCUUCCGGGUCUUAGCCCGAGUCCGAGCCCUGGGGUCGGGCGGAGCGGAGUUCGCCGUCUUCCGGGUCUUAGCCCGAGUCCGAGCCCUGGGGUCGGGCGGAGCGGAGUUCGCCGUCUUCCGGGUCUUAGCCCGAGUCCGAGCCCUGGGGUCGGGCGGAGCGGAGUUCGCCGUCUUCCGGGUCCUAGCCCGAGUCCGAGCCCUGGGGUCGGGCGGAGCGGAGUUCGCCGUCUUCCGGGUCCUAGCCCGAGUCCGAGCCCUGGGGUCGGGCGGAGCGGAGUUCGCCGUGGCGCCUUUGGCAAGGCCUAAUUGCCUGUCAGACUCACUCUGUCGAGUGGCACUGCAGUCGGAGUGGCGCAGGCGGCGCUGUCCUUCUGUCAGACUGGGCCAGUGGAGCGGUGGAGUGACGGCGGUCACCUCGGCUCUGCCGGGGGCGCGUGUCAGGAUAGAGGUGUCAGGCCACCUUUGCGUUAAAUGCCCCUGCAAUUUGGUCAGUCGGUGUGGUGAUUUAGUCAAGGUUGCUUCUGAGCGAAGCCAAGGCCUUGGGCAAGCCGGUGAUGUGUCCGCCAUAAAAAGGGGGCCUCGGGCGAGACGGAAGUCUCUCGAGGUCGGCUGCCUUCGGCCGAGGCUAGGCUCGGGUGAAGCGCGAUCGAGUCACUCGUGUGGACUGAUCCCUGCCUUAAUCGUGCCCAUCAGGCCUUUGCAGCUUUAUGCUGAUGGGGGUUACCAGCUGAGAAUUAGGCGUCUUGAGGGUACCCCUAAUUAUGGUCCCCGACAGUAGCCCCCGAGCCUCGAAGGGAGUGUUAGCACUCGCUUGGAGGCUUUUGUCGCACUUUUUUGCAAGGGGACCAGCCUUUCUCGGUUGCAUUUCGUUCCGGUGGGUGCGCGCGAGCGCACCCGCCGGGUGUAGCCCCCGAGGCCUCGGAGGAGUGGUUACACUCCUUCGAGGUCUUAAUACUUCGCUUAACGCUUCGGCUGGUCUGGUCGUUCCCUCAUGCGAACUGGCCGUAGCCCGGGUGCACGGUCGGGGCCCAAGCUCUCGGGCUGGUAUGUUGACGCUGUCAACGAUUUGGCCGGAGCCGGUUUUUGCGAGAGCAGCCCCCGAGCCUCUGCACAGGGCGAGAGGACGAUCAGGGACAGACUCGGCUUUUUACAUACGCCCCUACGUCGCCUUUCCGCAAGGAGGAGGGGGGGAGUGCGCCAUGUUACCCUCGAUGGGCACCGAACAUGGUGUCUCCGGUGAGCUGCAAGCGGGUAAUCCGAGUGGACGUCCGUGCCCCGUUCGUUGGGGGUCGGCUAGGGGCCCAGAGGCACGCCCAAAAGUACCUGCGGGUGACUUGCCGGACCCGGUCCCCUGGCGACGGGGUCCGAGGGCUCGAUGCCUCCCUCCGAUGGGAUUCCGUUACAAGAUCGUUCCCGCUGGUCUCGGAUAUGUCCUAGGGUACCUCGGGAGCGCAGCCCGAGCCUCGGUUAUGUAUCGAACGUACCCCUGGUCAUCCCUCGCUCGGUGUCUGAGGCGACUGUGAACCCUUCGGGGGCCAGCCUUCGAACCCCUGAUCAGUAAUGGGCGCGGAGCCCGAGUAGCCUGAGGCGGCCGUGGAGCCCUUCGGAGGGCUGGCCUUCGAACCCCUGACCAGUAGUGGGUGUCGGGCCCACGCGAUCUGAGGCGGCUGUUGAACCCUCGGGGGGCCAGCCUUCGAACCCCUGAUCAGUAAUGGGGGGCGCGGAGCCCGGUUCCUUCGUGGAGAAGGAUCCCUCUCGGGGUAUCCCCCUUCCCCGGUCCCUGUUGCAAGAGAUAGAGAAAGAGGAAAACGGAAAAGGAUACGAAAUCAGACGACGUGGCGUACCUUUUCUGACGCGGUUAUUAAGGCGAAGGUGAAGCGUCGCGCGCUCCUCCUACCAGAAGCGCCGCGUGUCCCGCCGCGGAGUUAAUGCGACGGGGCGAGUGGUUGGCGGGGCGGCCGUUGCGCGCGGGUGAUCCGUUCGAGGAACGGGUCACGGGUGCACCGUCUUCACGCCGUGAGAGGAGGCUCUCUUGCUGUCUCAGGAUGGGACGUGAGCCUGGCUGACGACGUGACCGCUGCGCCCGCCCGCCUGCCACCGCUAUUACUGCCGGCCCACUUUCGGUCGCUUUGACCGACGCGCCAGUCUGGCGCUGUUGGGUCGCCUCGAGUCGUGGCAUAGGCUUCGCAACCGAAGAGGCGCGAUGGUGGCACAAGUGGCGGUGCGGUUGCUUGCAUGCAGCAACUGGCGCGCCAGUUGCUCGACGCGUGGGCCUGGGCCCCAGGCUGGCGUGUCAGAAGUUGGAGAAGCGCGUCCAUCUGGCGCGGUUGCAUGCCGCCUGCAUGGCUGCUUGCCCCUUCUGCCCGUUGGUCUGGGCGAAAAUGGGGGGUCGCCUGUAACCGCUGGACGGUCGUGCGCACCAUGCGCGGCGGUUUGGCUUCUUCUGCCCUGAGCCGGCUUGUAUGACAUGCGGGACCCAGCCCCCGAGUCGCAGGGGAGGGCCUUGGAGCGUGUUGGAGAAGACUCGGCCCGCGGCGCUUGGGGGCGCACGUAGGGGGAGUUGCCUUUAAAAGGAGGGAGGCUCCUUUCGUAAGGCAACCAUGUCUUCUUCCUCCCUUAAGCGCUGGGUCUUCCCGUCUUCCAAGCCCCCGGAUGGGGGAUAUCCGCCGCCUUUCCGCCUCCUCGUUGGAGGAACACAACUCCAUGAGAGUUGGUACCUCUCAGCCAUCGUUCGGCUUCAAGGAUUUUCAUCAUGCUGCCCGGCUGCUCCCCUCCGCCGGCGGUCACCUGAGAUGGCGACCUCCGACUUGAUGGUGAGGGAAAGCGAGCCGGGCCGCGGCCUCUUCCUCUCCCUCAGCCUCAAGGAUUUUCAUCGCCAGGGCUGGGGAGGGGAGUGCGCCGAGUUGAGGUCGGCCCCCGCGUGGGCGGCAGCCCGCUCCUUCACUCAGUGAUCGGAGGGAAAGGCGGCCGUCGCCCGUGGCGCUGGCAGCUGCAGCGUGCCUGGCCUUCAGGCGUGAGUGGCUUCGGAGCCACUCGCGGCGCCGGCAUCCGCCGCGGCAGCUUGAAGAAGUUCUCCCGCCGGCGAGAUGGCCGGGGCCGACCGCGGGCUGACCUCCGACUCUAUGGCCUUCUGCCCGUCCUUGCCUCACAAGUUUUGGCAUGGGCGGGGGCUUCCUGGCAGCGGCAUCGAGCCCGAGGCUGGCGCUGCCGCUGCUUGGUCCCUCGGAGCAGAAGGCGUUGUCGUCGCUGCUGCUGGAGCGGGCGACGGCGCACCACUCGUCGGCCUUCCGUUGCUCCGCAGGCCUUCCCCCUCGGAGUGGGGUUGUUUGUACCUGCGGAGGGGGAACCGGAGUUCCGUUUGUAAUGGCACUUCGAAUGCCAGUGAGUUCGUUCAUUGUGGCUAUCGAGGCCUGAACGUGUAUGUAAUUUCGGCACGGAGCCGUGUUUUUUCCUCAUUUCCGAGCACUAAGUCUCGCCUGUUUUAUUAUCUGAACCGCUUUACCAAGCAUGAGUUGCCCCGUGUCAAGGUGACGGGUGAGGUAUCCGUAUCCCGGAGGCGUAGGAAUCCCUCGGCCCGUUCGGCCUUGUUACGUGAGGCUCCUCUAGCUUAGUUGAAGGGACCCCUCGGCCGCCCUUUGGUGGAUCGAGGCCGGGGGUAGCGAUAUCAGUAUGAACAGAGGCGGAGUUGGCUCGAGAAUGGGGAACCUGGUUGGCCGGAGCCUAGCCGUGUCGCCCGUCAGCGGUGCCGACGCCCAAGUCGGUCAGUCGAGGCCUCGGAUCGGGCUAGCGCCCUUGGAAGCCGGUUGCCCGAGGCCCCAGGGGUAACCGGUUGAGCCGCCUGCUCGGGCCGGAUUCCUGGAGGAGCCCCUGGACCUCGGCGCCGCCCGAGGCUGGGUCGGGCUUUGCUGUAGACGUCGUCGAUGCCGAGGGUGCUACGGCUCCCUUCGGCGUGAAGACCCGAGCCUGCAGGAUCAGAUCAUCUUGUAGCGUGCGCUUUCUGCGGCCGCCGAGGCCAGAAGAACACGCCCUCGCCGCGCUUGCGAAGCUGCGUCCUUUUUUCCUCUUGUUUCGAGCAUCUGGACUCUGUCGGUAAUAGGGAUGUUUGUGUGAGCGAGAGUUGCUUUUCGCGGAAGGGACGAGUGAGGUAUCCGUAUCCCAGAGGCGUGGGAAUCCCUCGGCUCGGUCGGCCUUGCCGCUUACGCGUACUUUCACCCGUCCAUGAGGCCCUGUCCCCGAUUUAGUCGAGAAAGCUUGAAGGACUGCUUCGGCAGGAGAGCUUCCGAACGUGAUGACUCGUUUGGUCCACGGAGUCGCUUUAUCCGAGCGCAAGUUACUUAUCGCAGAAGGGGACGAGUGAGGUAUCCGUAUCCCGGAGGCGUAGGAGUCCCUCGGCUCGGUCAGCCUUGGCUGCUUACGUGUACCUCGUCGUUUCCAGGAUCCGCUUUCCAAAGUAGUCAAGAAGCACGGAAGAAAUCCUGCUAAAAAGAGGUCCUUUUUCGAGGAAAAAAUUCGACGCAGAGGGGGUCUCCCCCCUUUUAGCCCCCGAGGGAGGGUCGGGCCUUGCCGAGGCUAGGCCGACCCUUCCUUGACAACUAAACUUUGCGUAGGUGCGAGGUAUAUGAACAACUUGAAAACAUCUUAAGGGUAGAAGCGACGUAGCUGUUUGAUGUUCCAAGCGUUGCCGUAGAUCUCGCCUUGAUUGUUGGCCAGCUUGUAUGUUCCGGGCUUCAGAACUUUGGCGAUGACGAACGGCCCUUCCCAGGGGGGCGUGAGCUUGUGCCUCCCUCGGGCGUCUUGUCGCAGCCGAAGCACCAGGUCGCCCACCUGGAGUUCUCGGGACCGGACCCCUCGGGCGUGGUAACGUCGCAGGGACUGUUGGUACCGCGCCGAGUGUAGUAAGGCCCUGUCCCGAGCUUCCUCCAACUGGUCCAGCGAUUCCUCUCGGCUGGCUUGGUUGCUUUGCUCGGUGUAGGCCCUCGCCCUUGGGGAGCCGUAUUCCAGGUCAGUGGGCAGGAUAGCUUCAGCCCCAUAGACCAGGAAAAACGGCGUGAAGCCCGUGGCACGACUCGGCGUCGUCCUUAGGCUCCAGACCACCGAGGGGAGUUCCUUCAUCCAUCGCCUGCCGAACUGGUUGAGGUCGUUGUAGAUCCGAGGCUUGAGCCCUUGUAGAAUCAUGCCGUUGGCACGCUCUACUUGCCCAUUCGACAUGGGAUGAGCCACGGCGGCCCAGUCCACCCGGAUAUGAUGAUCCUCGCAAAAAUCCAAGAAUUUUUUGCCGGUGAACUGGGUGCCGUUGUCGGUGAUGAUGGAGUUCGGGACCCCGAAGCGAUGGAUGAUGUUGGUGAAGAAUGCCACCGCCUGCUCGGACCUGAUGCUGUUCAGAGGUCGGACCUCGAUCCACUUGGAGAAUUUGUCGAUGGCGACCAGCAGGUGCGUGUAGCCCCCGGGCGCCUUUUGCAAGGGACCGACGAGGUCCAGACCCCAUACAGCGAAGGGCCAGGUGAUGGGUAUUGUCUGCAGAGCCUGAGCGGGCAGGUGUGUCCGCUUCGCAUAGAAUUGGCACCCUUCGCAGGUGCGGACAAUUCUAGUGGCGUCAGCCACCGCCGUUGGCCAGUAGAAGCCUUGCCGGAAAGCAUUUCCAACAAGGGCUCGGGGUGCUGCGUGGUGGCCGCAAGCCCCCGAGUGUACUUCUUGCAGCAGUUCCCGACCUUCGGCGAUGGAGAUGCAUCGCUGGAGGAUGCCCGAGGGGCUGCGAUGGUAGAGCUCCUCUUCGUCGCCCAGCAAGACGAAUGACUUGGCGCGUCGCGCUACCCGCCGAGCCUCGACUUGGUCGAGGGGUAGCUCUCCUUGACGGAGAUAUUGCAGGUACGGGGCCUGCCAAUCCUGGUCUGGCGUGGCCCCGCUCUGCCCUUCCUCGACGUUCAAUGCCCCGCCCUCGGGGGCCGAGAGUACCUCGGGCUGGGCCGAGGGUGCCUCAGGCUGAACCGAGGGUACCUCGGGCUGAGCCGAGGGUACCUCGGGCUGAGCCGAGGAUACCUCGGGCUCGGGCGCGUCGUCGAGCUUGACGGAGGGUUGAUGCAGAUCCCGGGAGAAGACGUCCGGGGGGACUGUCGUUCGCCCCGAGGCUAUCUUCGCCAGCUCGUCUGCGGUUUCGUUGUGGCGCCGAGCGAUGUGGUUGAGCUCGAGCCCGAAGAACUUGUCUUCCAGGCGCCGAACCUCGUCGCAGUAGGCCUCCAUCUUCGGGUCGCGGCAGUGGGAGUUCUUCAUGACUUGGUCGAUGACGAGCUGCGAAUCACCGCGUGCGUCGAGGCGUCUGACCCCUAGCUCGAUGGCGAUCCGCAAUCCGUUGACCAGAGCUUCGUACUCGGCCACAUUGUUGGACGCCGGGAAGUGGAGGCGCAGCACGUAGCGCAAGUGCUUUCCGAGGGGCGAGAUGAAGAGCAGGCCCGCACCGGCCCCCGUCUUCAUCAGCGACCCGUCGAAAAACAUGGUCCAGAGCUCCGGUUGGAUCGGAGUCGUUGGUAGUUGGGUAUCGACCCAUUCAGCCACGAAAUCCGCCAACACUUGGGACUUGAUGGCCUUCCGAGGGGCGAACGAGAUCGUUUCGCCCAUGAUCUCCACUGCCCACUUUGCGAUCCUGCCCGAGGCCUCUCGGCACUGGAUGAUCUCCCCCAGGGGGAAGGAUGACACUACAGUCACCGGAUGGGACUCGAAGUAGUGUCGUAGCUUCCGCCUCGUCAGGAUCACAGCAUACAGCAGCUUUUGAACUUGUGGGUAGCGGAUCUUAGUCUCGGACAGCACUUCGCUGAUGAAGUAAACCGGCCUCUGAACGGGCAAUGUAUGCCCUUCCUCCUGCCUUUCGACCACAAUCGCGGCGCUAACCACCUGAGUGGUCGCGGCGACGUAGACCAAGAGGGUUUCUCCAUCCGCCGGCGGCACCAAGACUGGCGCCUUUGUAAGGAGCGCCUUUAGGUUGCCGAGGGCUUCCUCGGCCUCAGGGGUCCAAACGAAACACUCGGCUUUCCUUAAAAGGCGGUAUAGGGGCAGACCUCUUUCGCCGAGGCGUGAGAUGAAGCGGCUCAGGGCCGCGAGGCAUCCCAUGACCCUCUGUACCCCUUUUAAGUCCUUGAUGGGCCCCAUGCUGGUGAUGGCCGCGAUCUUCUCCGGGUUGGCCUCGGUGCCUCGCUCAGAGACGAUGAACCCUAGGAGCAUGCCUCGGGGCACCCCGAAGACACACUUCUCAGGAUUAAGCUUGACUCCUUUCGCCUUGAGACACCGGAAUGUCACUUCAAGGUCGGAGAGGAGGUUGGGAGCCUUCCGUGUCUUGACUACGAUGUCAUCGACGUAGGCCUCGACUGUGCGACCGAUGUGUUCGCCGAACACAUGGUUCAUGCACCGCUGGUACGUCGCGCCUGCAUUCCUCAGGCCGAACGGCAUGGUGACGUAGCAGUACAUGCCGAACGGCGUGAUGAAAGAAGUCGCGAGCUGGUCGGACUCUUUCAUCCGGAUCUGGUGAUACCCCGAGUAGGCAUCGAGGAAGGACAGGGUUUCGCACCCAGCAGUGGAAUCCACGAUUUGGUCGAUGCGAGGCAGAGGGUAGGGAACCUUCGGACAUGCUUUGUUGAGACCAGUGUAGUCUACACACAUCCGCCAUUUCCCCCCUUUCUUCCUCACAAGCACAGGGUUGGCAAGCCAUUCGGGAUGGAAUACCUCUUUGAUGAACCCUGCCGCCAUUAGCUUGUGGAUCUCUUCGCCAAUCGCUCUGCGCUUCUCCUCGUCGAACCGGCGCAGAGGCUGUCUGACGGGUCGGGCUCCGGCCCGAAUAUCCAGCGAGUGCUCGGCGACAUCCCUCGGUAUGCCGGGCAUGUCCGAGGGACUCCACGCAAAGACGUCGGCGUUUGCGCGGAGAAAGUCGACGAGCACUGCUUCCUAUUUGGGGUCGAGCCCGGAACCGAUCCGGAUCUGCUUGGUGGUGUCGCCGCUGGGGUCGAGGGGGACGGCCUUGACCGUCUCCGCUGGCUCGAAGUUGCCGGCAUGGCGCUUCACGUCUGGGACCUCCUUGGAGAGGUUCUCCAGGUCGGCGAUGAGGGCCUCGGACUCGGCGAGGGCCUCGGCGUACUCCACGCACUCCACGUCGCAUUCGAACGCGUGUUUGUACGUGGGGCCGACGGUGAUGACCCCGUUGGGGCCCGGCAUCUUGAGCUUCAGGUAGGUGUAGUUGGGGACGGCCAUGAACUUCGCGUAGCAUGGCCUCCCUAACACGGCGUGGUAGGUUCCUCGGAACCCGACCACUUCGAACGUCAGGGUCUCCCUUCGGAAGUUGGAGGGUGUCCCGAAGCAGACUGGGAGGUCGAGUCGCCCGAGGGGCUGGACGCGCUUCCCAGGGAUGAUCCCGUGGAAGGGCGCAGCGCCUGCUCGGACGGUGGACGGAUCGACGCGCAGGAGCUUGAGGGUCUCGGCGUAGAUGAUGUUGAGGCAGCUGCCCCCGUCCAUCAGGACCUUGGUGAGCCUGACAUCGCCGACAACGGGGUCGACGACGAGCGGGUAUUUCCCCGGGCUCGGCACAUGGUCGGGGUGGUCGGCUCGGUCGAAAGUGAUGGGCUUGUCGGACCAGUCUAGGUAGACUGGCGCCGCCACCUUCAACGAGCAGACCUCCCGGCGCUCUUGCUUGCGGUGCCGAGCCGAGGCAUUCGCUGCAUGCCCUCCGUAGAUCAUGAAGCAGUCGCGGACCUCGGGGAAUUCUCCUGCUUGGUGAUCUUCGUUCUUGUCGUCGUCGCGGGCCCUGCCACCCUCGGCGGGUGGCCCGGCCCUGUGGAAAUGAUGCCGAAGCAUAACACACUCCUCGAGGGUGUGCUUGACGGGCCCCUGAUGGUAGGGGCACGGCUCCUUGAGCAUCUUGUCGAAGAGGUUUGCACCUCCGGGGGGCUUCCGAGGGUUCUUAUACUCGGCGGCGGCGACAAGGUCCGCGUCGGCGGCGUCGCGUUUCGAUUGCGACUUCUUCUUGCCUUUCUUCUUGGCGCCGCGCGGAGCAGACGCCUCGGGGGCUUCUUCCGAUGGGCGGCCCUGGGGCUGCUUGUCCUUUCGGAAGAUAGCCUCGACCGCCUCCUGGCCGGAGGCGAACUUGGUGGCGAUGUCCAUCAGCUCGCUCGCCCUGGUGGGGGUUUUGCGACCCAGCUUGCUCACCAGGUCGCGGCAAGUGGUGCCGGCGAGGAACGCGCCGAUGACAUCCGAGUCGGUGAUGUUUGGCAGCUCGGUGCGCUGCUUCGAGAAUCGCCGGAUGUAGUCCCGGAGCGACUCCCCCGGCUGUUGCCGGCAGCUUCGAAGGUCCCAGGAAUUCCCGGGGCGCACGUAUGUGCCCUAGAAAUUGCCAGCGAAGGCUUGGACCAAGUCGUCCCAGUUGGAAAUCUGCCCCGGAGGCAGGUGCUCCAACCAAGCACGAGCAGUGUCGGAGAGGAACAGGGGGAGGUUGCGGAUGAUGAGGUUGUCGUCGUCCGUUCCACCCAGUUGGCAGGCAAGGCGGUAGUCCGCGAGCCACAGCUCCGGUCUCGUUUCCCCCGAGUACUUUACGAUAGUAGUCGGGGGUCGGAACUGGGUCGGGAAUGGCGCCCGUCGAAUGGCCCGACUGAAAGCCUGCGGACCGGGUGGUUCGGGCGAAGGACUCCGAUCCUCCCCGCUGUCGUAACGUCCCCCACGCCUGGGGUGAUAGCCUCGGCGCACCCUUUCGUCGAGGUGAGCCCGACGGUCGCGUCGAUGGUGCUCGUUGCCGAGGUGGCCCGGGGCCGCAGGCGCGGUGUUGCGCGUGCGCCCGGUGUAGACCGAGGCUUCCCGCAUGAAUCGGGAAGUCGCGGCAUGAGGUUCCGAGGGAUAUCCUUGCCUUCGGGAUGCAGUGCUCUCGGCCCGCCGGGCCGCGGCGCCUUCCAGGAGAUUCUUGAGUUCUCCCUGGAUCCACCGACCCUCGGUGGUUGACGGCUCCGGCAUCGCGCGGAUGAGCAUUGCUGCGGUUGCCAGGUUCUGACCGACCCCGCUGGAUGCGGGCGGCGGCCUGAUCCUGACGUCGUUGGCGACGCGGUGCUGGAGACCUUGGGGCAGAUGACGUAUUUCUCCGGCCAGGGGUUGGCCCACCCAUGCCUGUCCGACGUCCCGACGGAUCGGCUCAAGCGCUCCCGUUCCCUCGUUGAGCCUGGCCUGCGCCUCGCGGACUUGCUCGAGUUGUGGGUCGUAACCCCCCGCCGGAGCGGGGACCACAGCUAGCUCCCGUGGGAUGUCGGCGCGAGGCACCGGCCUAGGGAGAUCACCAUCCUCCGGCAUGCCAAGAUGGUUGCCUUCGGUGGGAUUCCCUAGCUCGAUGUGGAAACAUUCGCGGCUUGGGCCGCAGCUCUCGUCGCCAAGGCUGCGGCUUGCAUCGGAACAGUCAGACAGACAGUAGUCACAUGCGGCCAUGAAGUCCCGCACGACACUGGGGUUGCCAAGUCCGGAGAAAUCCCAACCGAUGCUGGGGUCAUCAUCUUCCUCGGACCCAGAGGGCCCGUAGGUCGAGACGUCCGUCAGUCGGUCCCAAGGCGAUCGCAUACAGAACCUCAGUGGGGUUGCACUCGCCUCAAUGAGGGCGCCCGCCAAAACGAGGUCGUUUGGCGGGUUGAGGCCGAGUCGAAAUGACGCAAGAUGGGAGUUAGUCGUUACCUUUUGGUCGACGAGGAGCGACGUAGUCACAUCGGGGACUGGUUGCGCCGUCAUCUCUGGUUCGAGGGCGACGUCCUGCAGGCUUUCCGCGAGCGCGCCGGCGUCGUCUUCUUGCUCGGGGUCGUCGUGCCGCGGGGGGACGGCGCUUGCCUCCGUCUUGAACGCGAGGUCGAUGUCCGGCGUGCCUUCCGUCGGGGCGUCGGGGGCGUCGAUUCGCUCGACGGCCGGCGAAGCGCGGCCUCCCGUCUGGCCUUGACGGCCCCGCCUCCUCCUCCGUUGGCGGGGGAGAGAACGGAGCGAGCCCGAAUGUUGCUUUUCCACCACGCGGGGUAGACGUCGUCGAUUCCGCCGCCGGCGGGCGGGUUGUCGGCCGCCAUUGUCGUGGUCGCACGGCGGUGGAAGAAGUAUCAUGUCGUAGCUGCCGUCGAAGGACAUGAACUCGAGAGCCCCGAAACGAAGCACCGUCCCGGGCCGGAGAGGUUGCUGGAGACUGCCCAUCUGGAGCUUGACGGGGAGCUAUUCGUCAGCACGCAGCAGGCCCCUACCUGGCGCGCCAACUGUCGGCGUUUCGAGACAGGGGGGUCCCUAAGCCGACGAGUGAGUGUGCUGCGUGCCCCAGCCCAGAUGGGUCGAGCGCGUGGGCGAGCGCGGAGGGGGGAGAGGCGAGGCGGCCGGAGCCGAGCGUGAGAGAGGUGGAAGUCCCGCGGCCUUCGUGUUCGUCCCGCGCCCAGGUCAGGUGCGCUUGCAGUAGGGGGUUACAAGCGUCCACGCGGGUGAGGGAAGCGAGCGGCCCCAAGAGAGCGCCUGUCCCGUCCUCGGUCCCGCGCGGCCAACCUUCUCUGAGAAGGCCCUGGUCCUUCCUUUUAUAGUUGUAAGGAGAGGAUCCAGGUGUACAAUGGGGAUGUAGCAGAGUGCUACGUGUCUAGCGGAGGGAGAGCUAGUGCCCUAGGUACAUGCCGAUGUGGCAGCCGGAGAGAUCUGGGCAUCCUGCUGGCGUGAUGUCGUGGCUAUCGGAGGUGCGACGGAGCCUGAUGGAGGGACAGCUGUUGGAGCGGUCGAGUCCCUGCUGACGUUGUCCUGCUGCCGUAAGAGAGCUGGGGGCCGCCGUCGUCAUAGAGCUCGUGGAGCGCCAUCAUUGCCCCUCUGGCGGAGCUGGCCGGACGAGACGCCGGUCUUGUUCUCCGUGACCCGAGUCGAUUCGGGGUAGGAUGAUGAUGACGUUUCCUGUUGACGUGGCGGUCUGUGCUCUAGGCAGGGCGACGUGGGGUUUCCUCCGAAGCCGAGGUUGAGUCUUGCCUUCAGUUGCUGUGGCCGAGCCCGAGCCAGGGGGUCGGGCGAGGCGGAAGUCGUCCGGCCGAGGCCAGGGCGGAGUCCGAGCCCUGGGGUCGGGCGAGGCGGAGUUUCGUCGUCUUCCGGGUCUUAGCCCGAGUCCGAGCCCUGGGGUCGGGCGGAGCAGAGUUCGCCGUCUUCCGGGUCUUAGCCCGAGUCCGAGCCCUGGGGUCGGGCGGAGCGGAGUUCGCCGUCUUCCGGGUCUUAGCCCGAGUCCGAGCCCUGGGGUCGGGCGGAGCGGAGUUCGCCGUCUUCCGGGUCCUAGCCCGAGUCCGAGCCCUGGGGUCGGGCGGAGCGGAGUUCGCCGUCUUCCGGGUCCUAGCCCGAGUCCGAGCCCUGGGGUCGGGCGGAGCGGAGUUCGCCGUGGCGCCUUUGGCAAGGCCUAAUUGCCUGUCAGACUCACUCUGUCGAGUGGCACUGCAGUCGGAGUGGCGCAGGCGGCGCUGUCCUUCUGUCAGACUGGCCAGUGGAGCGGUGGAGUGACGGCGGUCACCUCGGCUCUGCCGGGGGCGCGUGUCAGGAUAGAGGUGUCAGGCCACCUUUGCGUUAAAUGCCCCUGCAAUUUGGUCAGUCGGUGUGGUGAUUUAGUCAAGGUUGCUUCUGAGCGAAGCCAAGGCCUUGGGCAAGCCGGUGAUGUGUCCGCCAUAAAAAGGGGGCCUCGGGCGAGACGGAAGUCUCUCGAGGUCGGCUGCCUUCGGCCGAGGCUAGGCUCGGGUGAAGCGCGAUCGAGUCACUCGUGUGGACUGAUCCCUGCCUUAAUCGUGCCCAUCAGGCCUUUGCAGCUUUAUGCUGAUGGGGGUUACCAGCUGAGAAUUAGGCGUCUUGAGGGUACCCCUAAUUAUGGUCCCCGACAAAUAGAAAUAUGUCUAGGAAAAAUGCUAUGCCUAGAAAGAAUAUUACUCAUGCUCCUAGGAAAGUAGUGAAUGAACCUUCUACAAUUUAUUAUGCUUUAAAUGCUUCCUUUGCUAUUUGUAGAAAGGAUAAGAAAAUUGUUGCUAGGAAGUUAGGGGCAAAAUGCAAGGGAGACAAAACUUGCAUUUGGGUCCCUAAGGAUAUUUGCACUAACCUUGUAGGACCCAACAUGAGUUGGGUACCUAAGUCCCAAGCCUAAAUUUGCCUUGCAGGUUUAUGCAUCCGGGGUUCAAGCUGGAUUAUCGACAGCGGAUGCACAAACCAUAUGACGGGGGAGAAGAAGAUGUUCACCUCCUACGUCAAGAAUAAGGAUUCCCAAGAUUCAAUCAUAUUCGGUGAUGGGAAUCAAGGCAAGGUAAAAGGGUUAGGUAAAAUUGCAAUUUCUAAUGAGCACUCAAUUUCUAAUGUGUUUUUAGUUGAGUCUUUGGGAUAUAAUUUAUUAUCUGUAAGUCAAUUAUGCAAUAUGGGAUAUAAUUGUCUUUUUACAAAUGUAGAUGUGUCUGUCUUUAGAAGAAGUGAUGGUUCACUAGCUUUUAAGGGUGUAUUAGACGGCAAACUUUAUUUAGUUGAUUUUGCAAAAGAAGAGGCCGGUCUAGAUGCAUGCUUAAUAGCUAAGACUAGCAUGGGCUGGCUGUGGCAUCGCCGCUUAGCACAUGUGGGGAUGAAGAACCUUCACAAGCUUCUAAAGGGAGAACACGUGAUAGUUUUGACUAACGUGCAAUUCGAAAAAGAUAGACCUUGUGCAGCUUGUCAAGCAGGUAAACAAGUGGGAGGAGCACAUCACAGCAAGAAUGUGAUGACCACUUCAAGACCCCUGGAGCUGCUGCAUAUGGACCUCUUCGGACCCGUCGCCUAUCUGAGCAUAGGAGGGAGUAAGUAUGGUCUAGUUAUUGUUGAUGACUUUUCCCGCUUCACUUGGGUGUUCUUUUUGCAGGAUAAGUCUGAAACCCAAGGGACCCUCAAGCGCUUCCUCAGGAGAGCUCAAAAUGAGUUUGAGCUCAAGGUGAAGAAGAUAAGGAGCGACAACGGGUCCGAGUUCAAGAACCUUCAAGUGGAAGAGUUCCUUGAAGAAGAAGGGAUCAAGCACGAGUUCUCCGCUCCCUACACACCACAGCAAAAUGGUGUGGUAGAGAGGAAGAACAGGACGCUCAUCGAUAUGGCAAGGACGAUGCUAGGAGAGUUCAAGACCCCCGAGUGCUUUUGGACGGAAGCCGUGAACACAGCUUGCCACGCCAUCAACAGGGUCUACCUUCAUCGCCUCCUAAAGAAGACGUCGUAUGAGCUACUAACCGGUAACAAACCCAAUGUAUCUUACUUUCGUGUAUUUGGGAGCAAGUGCUACAUUCUAGUAAAGAAAGGUAGAAAUUCUAAGUUUGCUCCCAAAGCUGUAGAAGGGUUUUUGUUAGGUUAUGACUCAAAUACAAAGGCGUAUAGAGUCUUCAACAAAUCAUCGGGUUUGGUUGAAGUCUCUAGCGACGUUGUAUUUGAUGAGACUAAUGGCUCUCCAAGAGAGCAAGUUGUUGAUUGUGAUGAUGUAGAUGAAGAAGAUGUUCCGACGGCCGCUAUACGAACCAUGGCGAUUGGAGAAGUUCGGCCACAGGAACAAGUUGAACGAGAUCAACCUUCUUCCUCAACAACCGUGCAUCCCUCAACUCAAGACGAUGAACAGGUUCAUCAACAGGAGGCAUGUGAUCAAGGGGGAGCACAAGUUGAUCAUGUGAUGGAGGAAGAAGCGCAACCGGCACCUCCAACCCAAGUUCGAGCGAUGAUUCAAAGGGAUCAUCCCGUCGACCAAAUUCUGGGUGACAUUAGCAAGGGAGUAACUACUCGUUCUCGAUUAGUUAAUUUUUGUGAGCAUUACUCCUUUGUCUCUUCUAUUGAGCCUUUCAGGGUAGAGGAGGCCUUGCUAGAUACGGACUGGGUGUUGGCCAUGCAGGAGGAGCUCAACAACUUCAGGCGCAAUGAAGUUUGGACACUGGUGCCUCGUCCGAAGCAAAAUGUUGUGGGAACCAAGUGGGUGUUCCGCAACAAACAGGACGAGCACGGGGUGGUGACGAGGAACAAGGCUCGACUUGUGGCAAAAGGUUAUGCCCAAGUCGCAGGUUUGGACUUUGAGGAGACCUUUGCUCCUGUGGCUAGGCUAGAAUCAAUUCGUAUCUUGCUAGCAUAUGCCGCUCACCAUUCUUUCAGGUUGUUCCAAAUGGAUGUGAAGAGCGCCUUCCUCAACGGGCCAAUCAAGGAGGAGGUGUACGUGGAGCAACCCCCUGGCUUCGAGGAUGAACGGUACCCCGACCACGUGUGUAAGCUCUCUAAGGCGCUCUAUGGACUUAAGCAAGCCCCAAGAGCAUGGUAUGAAUGCCUUAGAGACUUUUUACUUGCUAAUGCUUUCAAGGUUGGGAAAGCCGAUCCAACUCUGUUCACUAAGACAUGUGAUGGUGAUUUGUUUGUGUGCCAAAUUUAUGUCGAUGACAUAAUAUUUGGUUCUACUAACCAAAAGUCUUGUGAAGAGUUUAGCAGGGUGAUGACGCAAAAAUUCGAGAUGUCGAUGAUGGGCGAGUUGAACUACUUCCUUGGGUUCCAAGUGAAGCAACUCAAGGACGGCACCUUCAUCUCCCAAACGAAGUACACGCAAGAUCUGCUAAAGCGGUUUGGGAUGAAGGACGCCAAGCCCGCAAAGACUCCGAUGGGGACUGACGGACACACAGACCUCAACAAAGGAGGUAAGUCCGUUGAUCAAAAAGCAUACCGGUCAAUGAUAGGGUCUUUACUUUACUUAUGUGCUAGUAGACCGGAUAUUAUGCUUAGUGUAUGCAUGUGUGCUAGAUUUCAAUCCGAUCCUAAGGAAUGUCACUUAGUGGCGGUGAAGCGAAUUCUUAGAUAUUUGGUUGCUACGCCUUGCUUCGGGCUCUGGUAUCCAAAGGGGUCUACCUUUGACUUGGUUGGAUACUCAGACUCCGACUAUGCUGGAUGUAAGGUCGAUAGGAAGAGUACAUCAGGGACGUGCCAAUUCUUAGGAAGAUCCCUGGUGUCAUGGAACUCUAAGAAACAAACUUCCGUUGCCCUAUCCACCGCUGAGGCCGAGUACGUUGCCGCAGGACAGUGUUGCGCGCAACUACUUUGGAUGAGGCAAACCCUCCGGGACUUUGGCUACAAUCUGAGCAAAGUCCCACUCCUAUGUGAUAAUGAGAGUGCUAUCCGCAUGGCGGAAAAUCCUGUUGAGCACAGCCGCACAAAGCACAUAGACAUCCGGCAUCACUUUUUGAGAGACCACCAGCAAAAGGGAGAUAUCGAAGUGUUUCAUGUUAGCACCGAGAACCAGCUAGCCGAUAUCUUCACUAAGCCUCUAGAUGAGAAGACCUUUUGCAAGUUGCGUAGUGAGCUAAAUGUCUUAGAUUCGCGGAACUUGGAUUGAAUUGUAGCAUACAUGUGUUUAUGCUUUUGAUCAUGUUCAUUCUGCAUUUUGUUGCUUAUUGUGGUGCUCAAGUUGUACAAACACUCCCUGGACCUCACAAGUCCGUUGCAAAGUGAUGCACAUGUUUAGGGGGAGAUGUGUUACAACUUGACCCUUUGAGACUAACCAUAUGCUUGAGUUUGCUUGAUUUAGUCUCGAAGGAGAAUUGAAAGGGAAAAGGUGGACUUGGACCAUGAAAGACUUCCACUGCACUCCGAUGCGAGGGUAACUUAUUCCAAGUCCAUCUCAUGAACUCUUAUUGCCAUUUGAUCUUAAUUGAAGAUUUUGGUGAGGCAAUGGGGUUAAAGGGCCACGAUUGAUCCCGUUUUGGUGCUUGAUGCCAAAGGGGGAGAAAAUAAAGGCCAAAGCGAUAAAUGGAUCAGCUACCACUUGAGAGAUUUUGAAAAUAGUAGAAUAGAGUUUUUGUUUUGUUAAACUUUUUUGUUGUCUCUUAUUGUCUCUCUUGUCAAAGUUGGCUUCUUGUGGGGAGAAGUGUUAAUUAUGGGAAAUAGGGACAGUUUUUGAAAUCUUUGAUCAAUCUCUUUUGGAAUGACUCUAUUUAUGCUUCAACAUGUGUGUUUGACUUAGAGAUAGAGAUUUGAGUUUGAUUUGCAAAAACAAACCAAGUGGUGGCAAAGGAUGAUCCAUAUAUGCCAAAUCGAAUCAAAAUGAAUUUAAGUUUUAUUUGGAGUGAUUCUGCACUUGUUCUAGUUGCUUUAUGUUGUGUUGGCAUAAAUCACCAAAAAGGGGGAGAUUGAAAGGGAAAUGUGCCUUUGGGCCAUUUCUAAGUAUUUUGGUGAUUGAGUGCCAACACAAGUGCUUAAAUGUGAAUCUAUGCCCAUGGAUGAACAAAGUGCAAAUCACAAGUAAAGGUAUGUUUCUAAGCCUCAGUACAUUGGUUUUGUGUACUAAUAUAUUUGUCUAAGUGUUAGAAACAGAGAGAAGAAGAAAAGGAGAAUGUUGGCUGUGUACAGCCAACAGGCUGUUUCGGUCUGGUGCACACCGGACAGUGUCCGGUGCGCCAGGCUGCCUCGGCCGAAGAGGCCGCUCUCGGGAAUUUGCUGACGGUGUACGGCUAAAAUUCACCGGACUGUCCGGUGUGCACCGAACUGUCCGGUGAGUCAACGGUCGGCCGAGCCAACGGUCGGCCGCAGAAUCUGCGCGCGACACGUGGUCUGGCCAACGGUCGGAAGGAGGCACCGGACUGUCCGGUGUGCACCGGACUGUCCGGUGCGCCAGAUCUGCAACGGUCGGCAACGGUCGGCUGCGCUGUUUAUGGAAAUAAAUCGGGCACCGGACAGUGUCCGGUGUGCACCGGACUGUCCGGUGCGCCCGACGACAGAAGGCAAGAUUGGCCUUCUGGAUUUGCUCUCAACGGCUCCUAGCUGCCUUGGGGCUAUAAAAGGGACCCCUAGGCGCAUGGAGGAGACAACCAAGCAACCUUAGAGCAUUCCUGAUCAUCCACACUCAGUCUUUGCGCAUCCGAUUGUCAUUCUAAGUGAUUCGAGCUCCGUUCUUGUGAGAACCUUGAGAUAGUCUUUUGAGCUCGACUCUUGGCCGUGUGUGUGCGCGUUUUGCUGUGGAUUUGUGUGUGUUGCUUCCCUCCCUUACUCCGUAUUUCUUUGUGAAUCUCAAGUGUAAGGGCGAGAGACUCCAAGUUGUGGAGAUUCCUCACAAACGGGAUAUUGAAAGAAAAGCAUAACACUGUGGUAUUCAAGUUGAUCAUUGGAUCACUUGAGAGGAGUUGAGUGCAACUCUCGUCCAUUGGGACGCCACAACGUGGAGUAGGCAAGUUUUGUACUUGGCCGAACCACGGGAUAAAUCACUGUGUCUUCUCUGUGUUGAACUCCUUGUGAUUAUCAUAUUGUGCAAGAUCUUCUCUCUAGCCACUUGGCAUUAACUGUGCUAACACUUAAUCAAAGUUUUGUGGCUUAAGUUUUGAAGUUUACAGGAUCACCUAUUCACCCCCCCCCCCCUCUAGGUGCUCUCAACUGGGACAGUAAUAACAAAGAUCAGUUGACUGAAGUUGGCCCAGAAAACUCAAAUUUUCAGUUUCAGUUCACUGUUCCCAGUCAGGCUAUGUUGUAUCCUUCUGGUACAGGUGAGGAGGGUGAGAGUUCUGGGGGUGGUGAAGUACCCUCAGUGUCACCACUACCACAAUCACCUGUGUCACCACUACCACAAUCACCUGUGACCCCUCAAAAUUCAAGAACUCAACCUAUACUUUCAGGAUCACAAGCACAAAAUCUAGGCUCAGUUUCAGUUACUAGUUACAAUUCACAACCAUCUAGUUCAGAAAGUUCAGGAAUGGUUCCUGCGAAAUAUAGGACAUUGACUGACCUGUUUGAAAAUACUGAAGAAAUACUCGAUUAUGAGUACAGUGCUGUAUGUAUGUUAGCAGUGGAUGAACCUGUGGAUGUUGAAACAACUCUGAAGAGUCUAAAGUGGAGAGAAGCUAUGCAAUCAGAACUCAAAUCAAUAGAAGCCAACAACACUUGGUUUUGGUCUGAUCUGCCUAGAGGUCACAAAGCCAUAGGUUUGAAGUGGGUUUUCAAACUUAAGAAAGAUGCUGCAGGUAAUGUUGUCAAACACAAAGCGAGACUUGUUGCCAAAGGGUAUGCACAGAAAGAAGGUGUGGACUAUGAUGAAGUUUUUGCACCAGUGGCUAGAUUAGAGACCGUCAGAGUUCUGUUGGCACUGGCAGCACAAGGAAACUGGCAGGUACAUCAUAUGGAUGUAAAGUCAGCUUUCUUAAAUGGCAACCUGCAAGAAGAGGUGUAUGUAUUGCAACCACCAGGUUUUGAAGACCCAAAAGGAAUUAGAAAAGUUCUGAGAUUGAAGAAGGCUUUAUAUGGCUUGAAACAAGCUCCAAGAGCUUGGAAUGCCAGACUUGACUCUGAGUUAACUCUUCUGGGUUUUGAGAAAUGUAAGGUGGAACAUGUUGUGUACAGGAAAGGGAUUGGUCAUUCUUUGUUGGUGGUAGGAGUUUAUGUUGAUGAUCUUAUUAUCUGUGGGCCCUCUGUGACAGAAAUCACAAUUUUCAAGCAGCAGAUGAAGCAUACUUUCAGCAUGAGUGACUUAGGCUUGCUCAGUUACUAUUUAGGUAUGGAGGUCAGACAAUUGGAGAGUGAGAUUACAAUCUGCCAGAGCUCUUAUGCAGCAAAGAUCGUUGAUCAGUGUAAUAUGACAGGAUGUAAUCCUACAGACACUCCCAUGGAACAACGAACAAAGCUCACAUCCGGUGCAAGAGGAACUGAAGUUGAUCAAACAAGAUAUAGAAGUAUCAUUGGCAGUCUAAGGUAUUUGGUGAAUACAAGACCUGAUUUGUCUUUCUCAGUUGGACUUGUUCGCAGGUUCAUGGAGACUCCAAACAAAGAGCACUGGAAUACUGUGAAAAGGAUUGUGAGGUAUAUAGCUGGAACAAUCAAUUUUGGAGUAAAAUUCAAAAAAGGAGGAGGGGGUCUGUCUUUACUAGGAUACACUGACAGUGACUGUUCGGGUGAUCUCGUUCACAGGAAAAGUACCUCAGGUAUCCUAUUCUUUUUGGGCAUCAAUCCAGUAACCUGGUCAUCUCAAAAACAAAGAGUGGUUGCUCUGUCAUCUUGUGAAGCAGAAUACAUUUCAGCAGCAUUGGGUGUGUGUCAGGGGGUCUGGCUAAGUAUGCUGUUAGCCGAUAUUACAAAAGAAGAGGUGCAGAAGUUUAGUCUACUCAUCGAUAAUAUGUCAGCAAUAGAACUAAGCAAGAAUCCAGUGCACCAUGAUAGGAACAAACACAUUGACACUCGCUACCAUUACAUCUGUGAUUGCAUUGAACAAGGCAUGGUAGAUGUAGACCAUGUGGGAAGUGAUCAUCAGCUUGCAGAUAUACUGACCAAGCCAUUGGGCAGAAUCAAGUUCGUGGAGCUCAGGACAAAGUUGGGAGUGGCUCCGGUUCAACUAGAUUAGGGGGUGAUUUGUUAGUUUUUCCAUAAACAUUUGCUUUCUGUAAUCUAGUUGAUUGUUGAGGCGUAGAAUCGCGAGCGUGUCAGUGCGGUGCCUGACUGCGUCGUGACCGCCAAGUUAGAUAUAUCCUGUCGCUGAACAUGCUGCACCUGUCCACUGUGUUCCUUAAAAGGGGGAGAAUGUGGGGCAUGGACUUGUGGCGGCGGGAGAUCCGGGCAUUAGGCCAUGUAAUUGCUUUUUACUUUAAAUAACAGAAAAGCAAAAGGUUGCGCUGUGACAGUUGCGCAGACCCAUCUCAUUUUCUCUCUGUGCUUGUGUUUCUCAUACCUGGGGUUUUCUGGGGUUUUCUCUGGUGGCGCUCGCUCCACCACGGUGACCGCCCCCAGAAGCCCGACUCGCCGCCCAGCUCCGUUGUCUGCAAAGCCAGCUGCCGAGUCCAGGAUCCAACAUCAGUGUUGGCCCAAGAGACCUAAAGCCCGCUGCUAUACGUGCGGGCGCAUGUGUCGCGGCCCGACAGCCUGGGUAGGCGCGCCGUGAGUGCGGGCGGCCCCGACGGACACGCCAUGUGUCGGCGGUCCGGUUCCAACAAUUGGUAUCAAAGCCAGGUUGGCCCAGUGCAUUCUCAGACAAAUCUCGGCUCACAAUGUGUGAGGGGGAGAUUGUUGGGAAUAGUCACACAUUGUCUGGUGAGAGUGAAAAAGCAUGGUUUAUAUGGUUGAAGGUGCAACCCCCUGAAGGGCUAGCUUUUUGGGGGAGUAUUGGCCCAAGAGACCUAAAGCCCACUGCUAUACGUGUGGGCGCGUGUGUCGCGGCCCGACAGCCUGGGUGGGCGCGCCGUGAGUGCGGGCGGCCCCGACGGACACGCCAUGUGUCGGCGGUCCGGUUCCAACAUAUGUUGCUUACAGUAGAUUGUGUAUAUGAUCAUGAGAUGUUUUUACUGUACACAACACUGUUUACAUGUACGAACAUGAGAUGUUUUUUUACUGUAGAUAACACUGUUUACAAAGUAUUUUUUAAAAUAUAAGAUAAUAUAAAACUAUUGGAGAUAGUCUUAUAAUAAUGAAUGGAAAUUAUGUAGUAGCAAAGGGGUGCAUCUUUGAUAUCAGGUUCUGUGGUGGCCGCCCUUUUGACAUUACUGGACUAAAGCCUCGGUGAGACGGUGACCAUCAGGUAGCAGCUGAAAAUUAGAUUCAAAGUGCCCAGUUACUUCUUCCUUUUUUAAGGUCAUGUUUGGAAGAACUUCACUUUAAAAAUUUAGCUUUGGUUCUCUAAUUUCACUAUAAAACAGAUUCAAUAGAUUGGUAAGACGGGGAUCAAGAGUGUUUGGCUUGCACAUAGACUUCAGCUUUUGUAAUACAAUUUAUUUGUAUGAAUUUCCUUAAUUACCCUUAAUGAUUAGUGGAAUGAGAAAGAAACAUGUAUCGGUAGAUCAUGUAAACGAUGUCAUGGUGGGUAAUUUUUAUGCAACUUCAUGAGAAUGUAUGAAAACAAUGUUUUUGAGCACCCUUUGAGGAGCUUUGAAAAUUUCAUAAAACUAGGCUCUAGUUAUAGUAUUUUUUGAAGCUAGAGCUAAUGGGGCUGGAUCUGUUUGAAUAGAAGAAAAUGAAAUAGACUUAAAAUUUUUGAAGUGAAGCUUUCUUAAACUAGGCCUAAGACUAGCUCCAACAGACCCUCUAAAGAGUUCUUUACUUUAAAUUGUAGAGAAGAUUUCGUCCUCUACUCCCUCUAGUAACGUUCUCUAAAUGGUCCUUUAAAUUUAGAGAAAGCUGCUGGAUCCUCUAUAUAUAGAGUUUCUCUCUCCUCCGCUCUAUCCAUUUGAAUACUUUAAACAACCGGUUUAACAAAACUAAUAUAUAAUAUAUUUGAGAGUAUGAUAAUUACGUAUAUAUAAAAAAAUUAAAAUAAAAAAUGUCUCUAAUAUAGGUAUUUACGUAUAGAGGACGUGAUUUAGAGGACGUUGUUAGAGAUAAAGAAGAUAUACAGGCUGAAAUCUUUUAGAAGAGACGGUAAAUAAUAGAUAUAGAGUAUGCUGUUGGAGACGGUCUAAGUGUUUCGUGUCAUACGAGUAGGUUUUAUGUUUUUAACAUUCGUUUCCUGGAAAUGACAAAAACUUCAAUUUAGUAGGAUCAGUAUGCAAGGAUGUUCAAAAUCUUUAGGUAGCCCAUGAGUGUAUACAUAAUCUAAAAUUAAUGGCCUUGUUUGUUUCAGUUCUUUAGCUUUUGGUCACCAUAAGGUGUUGUAGACUGACAAAUGAUUAGUUUUUAAAAUAGUUUUUAUAAGAAUCAUUUUAGUAAAAAAUCGAAAAAAUCAACAUAAACACAUAAUCAGUUGAAUCGCUGAAUUAGUAGUAAGCCAUCACUUUCUAUAUCCUAAACGUCAUGGAUAUUUUUAUCUUCCUCUAUACAUAAUAUCCAUGAUAUUCAAAUUCUCUCCCUAGCUAAAUUCUCCCAUAGCCAGAUUAUUAAAAAUGCUUAUAAAAAAGGUUGAACCAAACAGCACAAUGUGGCCCUCAAUUUCACAUAAAAAUGAAUUUUAUACUAAUAUAUCAAAGAAAAAAGUCACCAAAACAACUCAGAUUCCGAAGGAGGGUAAAUAAAUGCGAACUUUCUCCGAAUAACCCCCUUGCCCUUGGAAACUAGUCAAGUUCAGUGCCCCCAUACUUCCGUCGCGGCGGAGAUCGAGUCGAGCGCCCGCCACGGCGAUGGCGGCUAGAGUCCUGCCGCCGCCGCCGCUCCCUCUCGUACUCCUCUUGCUGCUGCUCCCGCUCUCAGCCCGGGACACCGUCGCCGCGGGCGAGGAUUUCCCACGCGACGGGCGGGUGAUCGACCUCGACGAGAGCAACUUCGAGGCGGCGCUGGGCGUCAUCGACUUCCUCUUCGUCGAUUUCUACGCGCCAUGGUGCGGCCACUGCAAGCGCCUUGCGCCCGAGGUACGACGAACUCCUGCCGACCUGUCGCUUGCUGGUGGUUGUUAGUAGACCUAUGAGAUGUGAUUGCGCGUUGGGAUACCGACCGUGGGCCGUUGCCGUGGAUCGGGGUGGAUCUUGGCUUCUGUGUUAGUGCUGUGGGAACGGGUUAAUUGGGUCUCUGGAGUUCAGAUUCUGUGUUAGUGAAGUGGGAGAGUACAGAACUUAGGCCAGUCCGGUCUGAGUGGAGAGUUUGGCGGCGUUGUUUCCAAUAUUGCCAUGUCACUUGGCACCACAAGAAUAUCUAAAAGUCUAAAGAUUAUGGAGAUUCAACAAAGAUUCCGAGAAUUGGAAUUACAGCAAACCAGGUAUUAGAUCUUAUCAUUUGUGGUCCUUAGAACGUUCAAGUGGGUUGCAGCCAAUGUGUCCAAACUUCCGGCUGAAUUGUUGCUUUCUAGUGGCCGACCAUCCUUUCCAGACCUUCUCUAGAGCUCUUCAAUCCUUCCUCCUAAGAUAAGAUAAGAUAAGAUCCAGGCUAACUUUUUCAAGCAAUGGAAUGACUGGUAGGCGAUCUCAGGCUCGCUCGUCGUUGGGUAGUUUCCGGUAGUUCGUUCACCAUUGAAAUGAAACAUGGAUGAAACACACACACACACUCAAUGAGAAGUUUCAUUCUAUAGUUUUAUAGACAUUUAAUUUUAAUGACUCAUAAAUAGUUCGUAAUUGUGCUAAGAGAGUUAUCUCUUAAACACGUUGUCAUAUCAUCAACUACGCUUAUGUGGCGACUUGUUAAAUGGAAAUAGAACUCCCACGGAGAGUAGCCUUACUGUUUUCCAGAAAAUUUAUUCGUUUUUUGAACAAAAAAUGUUUUUAUUGAGUCAUUAAACAAACAUGGAGCAGUGUGUGACACCACCGGACUCUGGGAUUCCUUGUUUUUUUGGGUGGGUAGUCCCAACUCCCGAAAACUCGAGCAGAUUAGAGCGAAGUGGGAGAGCACACAACUUGCUAUUUUUUCAGAAUAUUUAACGAAAAAUGUUGUUAUUGAGUCAUUAAACAAACAGAGUGGUAGUGCGUGACACCACCUGAAUUUCGGUACAUUAGCCUGUGGAAAAAGACAAGUGCUAUUAGGUGUGACACACCUGAAUUAGUACGUUCUCAAAUACUACUUUUUGCUUACUUACAAUUGCAUAAAAGCCAGAAAUUCCAGGGAAUUGGAUUAAGAAAACGAAGUUAUGAUAUUACUCCUUUUUUUUGUUGGUGCAGUUAGAUGAAGCUGCACCAAUGUUGGCAGGGUUGAGUGAGCCCAUUGUUGUUGCCAAAGUUAAUGCUGAUAAAUACAGGAAACUUGGAUCAAAAUAUGGAGUUGAGUAAGUUCUUGCCUGAAAGUAUUUUGGUUUCGCUGGAGAGUAGAUAUUCUUAGAUUGGAUGCCUAAUGCUUAUUAGUUCCUAAAUGCAGUGGGUUCCCUACCCUCAUGCUUUUUAUCCACGGUGUUCCAAUUGAAUACACUGGUUCGAGGAAGGCUGAUCAGCUUGUCCGCAAUCUGAAGAAGUUUGUUGCGCCAGAUGUUUCUAUCCUUGAGUCAGACUCUGCGAUAAAGAACUUUGUUGAGAAUGCUGGUACAAGCUUUCCUAUGUUCCUUGGUUUUGGGGUGAAUGACUCAUUGAUUGCUGAAUAUGGAAGGAAAUACAAGAAAAGAGCAUGGUUUGCUGUUGCUAAAGAUUUCUCUGAGGACGUCAUGGUAGCCUAUGAAUUUGACAAGGUUCCGGCGCUAGUUGCAAUCCAUCCAAAGUAUAAGGAACAAAGCUUGUUCUAUGGCCCAUUUGAAGGUAAUUGUUAUCCCUUUCUUGUGUUCGUUCAUGGCUUUUUUUUUCUAUGUCGAUUCUUAGUUUGAGAAGUAAUUUCAGGCACCAUGUAUUGUCUUAUGGUCGUUUAAUAUACCAUACAUAGCCAUGUUGAUUUCCCCAUAACGCCAUAGCUGAUGGUGUUGUUUUUUGGAUAUAGAAAAUUUCUUGGAAGAUUUUGUACGACAAUCCCUUCUCCCUUUGGUUGUCCCAAUCAAUACAGAGACGAUAAAAAUGUUGAAUGAUGAUCAGAGGAAAGUUGUUCUCACAAUUUUGGAGGAUGAUUCAGAUGAAAAUUCUACACAGCUGGUAAAGAUUUUGAGAUCUGCUGCUAGCGCAAACCGUGAUUUGGUGUUUGGAUAUGUUGGAAUCAAGCAAUGGGAUGAGUUUGUGGAGACUUUUGAUGUUUCCAAAAGCUCACAGCUGCCAAAGCUACUUGUGUGGGAUAGAAAUGAGGAGUAUGAGCUCGUAAGUACAGUAUCCUCAGUAAUUAAUUCUAUUUUCUAAUACCACCAUCCAUAUAAAGUGUUACUGGCAUGUUUCUGACUAAUGAUGCAAAAGUUUUUCUAUCAAUAAAGGUAUUGCUUUUAUAGGUUCCUGUUUGUUGACCCUCAUAAUUCCCUGAGAAAGUUAAUACUUGAUUAAGAAAGAAACUGCUACCAUCUCUCCGAUAAUCAUCAAAUAAGAAUUUGUUAUUUUCUGGGAUUGAAUUAAAAUGGUUCUUGGUGAAGGUGGAUGGUUCAGAGAGAUUAGAAGAAGGUACUGACCAAGCAUCUCAAAUAAGCCAAUUUCUUGAGGGAUACAGAGCAGGAAGAACAACAAAGAAGAAAAUUAGCGGCCCUUCUUUCAUGGGUUUCCUGAAUUCUCUGGUCAGCUUGACCUCGCUGUACAUCCUUAUAUUCGUCAUUGCCCUUCUGUUUGUCAUGGUGUACUUUGCUGGGCAAGAUGAUACUCCACAGCCAAGACGAAUUCAUGAAGAGUGAUGGAAGCUUGGGGAGCUUCUUGCACCUGAAGUGUAAAGAUGGCUAAUGUACCAGGAGAUGUAGCUCAGAGGUUAUAGAUUUCAAACUUUCAACGGACGCAAGUCUUGAAGAGUGGAUUUGGCUAUUGAUGCUGAGAUUCUUCAAUUUCUAUUGGCCACACCAACUUCUACAUCCUGCCUAUUUAUGUUUCUGUUUUGUGCCCUUCAAUUUGUUCUUUAAUUUAGAGCUUAGAAAUUAGCCUCUGCCUGUGUAUUUUAGAAAUUGUCCAUUCCAGAGUCCAUUUCUGUGAAAAUAUAUUUAUUAUCAUACUCUGCUACUGAACGUUUGUACAAUUAAUACAUGAUGUAUAGACUGUUCUGGUGCUAUGGUACUCGCUAGUUGUGAAGUUGUCACCAAAAAGUAAAACAAAACAAAUCAUUAGUUGUUAGAUAGCUAAUAAGUUAUUAGCUAGGUUGAACUAGCUAACAACUAAUAACUAUUUGAGAGAUAUAACUAAUCAUUAGUUGGUCUAUUAGUUGAUGUGUUAUAAACCUCUCGGCUAAUUUUAGACGCUAAAUAUUAGUUUUAUAGGUUUAGAAACAAACACCUUAAUAGGUUUGUUUUGUCGUUAUUUCUCGUCUACAUAAUUAUUUUUAUAAUUAAACUAUAUUUAAUAUUUAUAAUAAGCACCAAACAUUAAUAUAACAGUGAUUAGAUUUUAGUUGGUGAAUCUAAAGACACCCUAAAAAUAUUGUCCGACCCGUUUUCAGCCUACACCGCGCCCUGCUUAUCCAGAAACAGACACCGCCCUUCCUAUGCGAGCGGUCCACGCCGCCGAACCCUAGAUCCAACGAACCAUACGGCUCAAGACCUCCUCCCCUCGCGUUCACCAAACACCGCCGCACACUUCUAAAAAAGUUCCGCAGGAAACGCGGCCCGCAGCACGCCCUUUCCCCACCUCGAUCUCGCGCUAGGUUUUCGCCACACCGCUCUCGUCCUCCGCGAAGAUGCCGAAGAACAAGGGUAAGGGAGGCAAGAACCGGAAGCGUGGAAAGAACGAGGCUGACGACGACAAGCGCGAGCUCGUCUUCAAGGAAGACGGGCAGGAGUAUGCGCAGGUGACCCGGAUGCUCGGCAACGGGCGGUGCGAGGCCACCUGCGUGGACGGCACGCGUCGCCUCUGCCAUAUCCGGGGCAAGAUGCACAAGAAGGUGUGGAUCGCGGCCGGGGACAUCGUCCUCGUCGGCCUCCGCGACUACCAGGACGACAAGGCCGACGUCAUCCUCAAGUACAUGAACGACGAGGCGCGCCUGCUCAAGGCCUACGGGGAGCUUCCCGAGACGCUCAGGCUCAACGAGGGCGUCGACGUCGAUGGGCCCGAGGAGGGCGAGGAGAACGGCGACUACAACUACAUCCAGUUCGAGGACGAGGACAUCGACAAGAUCUAAGAAUUCUGUCUCUCCUUCCUUCCGGCACAUUUUAUUAUUAUUAUGGGAUUCCUUUUCGCCUUCCGGCUAAUUUAAUAUUAUGUGACUUGCGUUUUAGUACGCGGUGGUGGACUGGUGGUAUGGUUUAGGCGGGCUGUUAUGAAUUCGCUCGCAAUCCUGAUAGGAUCUGAGGUGGUUAAAUAAUCGCGGAACGCUGAUAAUCUCGUUUUAAAUCUGGCGCAUGCUGUUGCAAGAUGUUCUAUACUAGUUGUUAUUCUGG